CUUAUUCUUUUCCAAUGAUUCAGAUAAUGUACAUAAUUUACUCAAAAACUUGAGUACACUGAGUGUGUCAUCAACAAUGCAUGAUAUGGAAGAAAAAGAAGAACAUAAUGAAGGAAUAGUUGAAAGAGAGAACAAAGGGAAACAAAACAUGUUGAUUGAAAAAGAUGAAGAACAUAGCAAAUGGACACAUAUCCCUAGUGAUAUUCUGGAAAUGAUAAUGAAGCGUUUGAAUCUGAUAGAUUUCCUUCGAACUAGUGCAGUGUGUUCAUCUUGGAAUGCUACCUUUACUGAAGCCAUUGCAAACAAGCAUAUCAAACCAUUACCUGAAUUGCCUCUUGUAAUCCUACAAUCGCAUAGGAUUUCUAUAUCAGCAAGCAGUAUUUUGAGCAUCAAAUUAGAAGAAGUAUGUUCUGUCAUAAACAAAAACACAAUGCUACUUGACAGUCACCAUAUAUAUCAUGGCAUAGUUGAAGGAUGGAUGAUUUUGAGUAUUUCUCUUUUUGUUGGUACUACCAAAAUCAUUUUUUUCUUGAAUCCAAUUACCAGUGAUAUAGUAAUUGCCCCUUCACCUUUGAAAUUUCCAUCAAACUCUCCUAUCCCGAGUAGAUCAAAUCAGUGUGUUCAUCUUGGAAUGCUACCUUUACUGAAGCCAUUGCAAACAAGCAUAUCAAACCAUUACCUGAAUUGCCUCUUGUAAUCCUACAAUCGCAUAGGAUUUCUAUAUCAGCAAGCAGUAUUUUGAGCAUCAAAUUAGAAGAAGUAUGUUCUGUCAUAAACAAAAACACAAUGCUACUUGACAGUCACCAUAUAUAUCAUGGCAUAGUUGAAGGAUGGAUGAUUUUGAGUAUUUCUCUUUUUGUUGGUACUGCCAAAAUCAUCUUUUUCUUGAAUCCAAUUACGAGUGAUGUAGUAAUUGUCCCUUCACCUUUGAAAUUUCCAUCAAACUCUCCUAUUCCAAGUACAUCAAAUUUGAAAAUGGGAAGAAUGGUGGCAUCUUCUAGUCCUAAGUGUAAAGAUUGUGUUCUGGUUUGUCUCUUUACUGAUUAUGCCCACAUUGCAUAUUGUAGAGUUAAUUAUGACAAAUCAUGGACUAUGAUUGAAGCAAAGGGAGAUGCAUGCAAUUUUCGGGAUAUGGAAUUUUUCAAUGGAAAAUUGUAUGUUAGAACUUACAUGUCAAGCAAUUCUAUGUUAGUUUAUAAUCUACAAGAUUCUACUGAUAAUCCUCCAAACCCUAUAGUAUUAGGUGAGAUUCAACCAAUAAGGCCAUUACCAGAGUCAAGGACACAUGAAAAUCAAACUCAUGUUAAGGGUAAUGUCUUUCGAUUUCUAACAACAGGUCAUGCAGCAGAAGAGUUAUUGCUCAUAUACUUGUUCAUGAAUUCUGUUUUUGAAACUGAUAAAGUUGGCUAUAUGAAUGACAUCAAGCAAUAUACAAGUCCCCCACAAGUUACCAACUGUGAAGUGUUCAAGUUAGACACAAGAAGUAAUAAGUGGGUGAAGCUUGAUCACUUGGGUGAGAGAGUGAUAUUUCUUGGAUCUAAUAAGUCCUAUGUAAUGUCAAGAACAUUACUUAAUUGCAGUGAAGAGUUAAUUGCAGAGAAUAGUGUCUAUUUUGCUCUUUACUUUCGAUGUCCAGAACCAUGGUUGAAUCCUCAAUUGGGGAGGCUUUGUUUGACUGAUAACAAGAUCAAGUACUUUUCUUUGGAGGAAUCUGGAGUUGAACUAGAUGCUUACCCUUCCUGGUUCAUACCAAGUGUUUGGUAAUUCAUUUAUUUGCUCCUUACAUUUGCUUUAGGUUUCAUCAUUGUCAUCUAUGAAUUGAUUGAUAUUUUUUUUGUAUCAUACAUUUUCAGUUUCUAUAUAAUCAAUAAACAUGUUAGAUAAGCUUCUGAAAAUAAAUAGGCUUCAUUUAACUCAUAAAACUAGUUUGGCCCUCCUAUAAGCUUUUUUCUAAUCUUAUUUCAAAAUAGGGUAUGCAUAUUUUGGUUGUUUACCAAAAACACCAUUAAAUUGUUCAUGGCUUAAAAGUAUUUUAGCCAAAUCACACUGAAUUUGCAGAAUCAUCUGAACCUUAGAGUGCUUUGAAAACCAUCCUCCACGCUAAAAGUGGUAUAAUAAUGUAGAAAAAGAAUCACAUAAUAUAUGGUACGAUAUGCCGUGCAAGGAAGUUAAUCCACAAAAAGAGCAUUAAAUUAUAAAGCUAACAAAAUAAGAAAAGACUUAUCUGAACUCUUCCUUCAACAACCAUUGUUUUUCAAAUUCAUAGUACAAUAAAGAGGAUCUGCUCAUACUCGAUAACAUGAAUAUUAACUAGUGGAAAAAAGUAGAGUUUGUAGUGGAGUUCUUUUAGAUCAUAAUAGACAGCAUGCCAUACUUAAGCUACUUCCACCCGAACCACAAGCAAACUUUCCAGCAGCAUCUUUCCAUUUUCCAUUAUCAUUCUUUAUGCUCUAAAACUAAAUAACUCAAAAGGAUGAUACCUACAAUCAAAAGAGAGACAUAAGAAAUACCAUGCUACAAACUUCCACUCCAUUGUUUUUUUAACUAAAGACUCUUAGCAACCAAAAAACUAAUGGUUUUUAACUAUGUUUUACAACCACAAUUGCAGCAAUAUUUUCCCACAAUUAUGGUAAAUGCAACAUAACCACAACCACGAUAUGAAACCAUGUAAAUCAGUAGUAGCAGAAUAAAACUAACUGGAAAGGAAUUGAAUGCAUUGUAGUAUUGAUUCAGAAAUCACUCUUAAGGAGUUUUUACUUUAUUUUUAAUGGUGCUAAAAAUGAAUUACAUCGUUGAUUUAUAUUAUAGAUAUUCAACAAAGUUUUACAUUGAUUGUCGAAUAUGAAAACUUUGAUACAAAAUAAAAAUCACAAAAAUGGAAACUUUGAUACAAAAUAUUAAAUUCCCACAUUUAUUUUUAAACAACACUUCAGCAGGAAAAAAACACAAAAUUCAUUCUAAAAUCCCCAAAUUUCGGCACGUUACUAAUUUGAUUUUAAAAAUUGAAAGAAUAGCGAAGCAAAAAGGGAAAAGAAUGAAGAAGACUUUGAAGCAAAGACCGAAGGUGAUUGAAAUCGGAGUGGAUGGUUGAAGAGAGUGAAACGGUGCGUUGCAGAGUGUGAGUUAGGUUAUUGAAGUCACGUUUGUUUUGCAAUACCUUAACCACGUCGUUGGUGUAACAGAAUUUGACUCAUCAUUGAUUAAAUUAAAGAUAAAUUUUUUAGCUAUUUAGUUUUCAAUAUAAAUCACCAUGUUGUCUACAAAAAAAUCAUUUUCUAUUUUACUAUAUAGUUUUGUUUUAAUUUAUUGUCUUCGUUGCUGAAAAUAAUCUUCAUCUAGUAGCUAAACCACAAUAGCUAAGAUAAGAGAAUAACUUGAUCAAACAAAUAAUAUAUAUUUACUUGUCCAUAUUGUCAAUGUUCAAAUUAAUUCAGAGAUGAUUGAGGGAGUUUUUAUUUUCUUAAACAUAAAUGACUAACAACAUUAACAAUAAAACAUUAAAAUCAACACAUCAAGUAAUUCACCUCUUACUCGCAUUGAAAUUCAUAUGGUAAAUUUUUUGCAUAAAAUAUAUAUAUAUAUAUAUAUAUAUAUAUAUAUAUAUUAUCAAUAUUAAAUGUUUUAUAAAAGUCUAUAGAAUCUUAAGACUUUUGUUGCAAAUUUGACAAAGAUAAUAUUUAUCCUAUAAUAUAUUUUACAAGUAUAAAAUUAUUAUAAAAUUAAAUAAAGUAAUAGUAUUAUAAACAAUAUCAACAUCUACAUAUAUAAAAGAACUUUGUCUAUUACCUAUAGUUUUUAAUAGGACUAUAUAAUUUGCCAUUUAAAAAAAGUAAAAAAAUUUGAAAAAAAAAAAUUGAGGGGGGCAGUUGCCCCGACCUGUCUCCACCGAGUUCCCCCGGUGCUACUACUUACGCACAUCAUAGGACUCAUAAUUAAUGGUAUAAUUUUUUAUAAUUUCUUAUUUUACAUUGUUUGUAAUUUUUUAUCUAAUUUUUUACGUGAUUGGUUUGGUAUCAUUCAAUAAAAUGGGAGGCUUCUACUAUCUUAGUACCAAUGUAAUGGACUUCUUCAAAGUUUGAAGUUGGAAUUCUAAUAGUAUAAUUGUAAUACCAAAUUUAAAUUAGUUACAAAAACACAUAAAUUUUUAUAUUGAUUACAUUUAUUGAAAUGUUAACUAUCUUGUAAUUAUUACUUUGACAUUUAAUUACGAAAUUGGUUCGGUUUUUUUUAUAUUUAAAAUGGCUGAGGAUAAUAGUAUCAUUGAUCAUUGUUCACCGUUUGAGCUUUCUAAUUUAAAAAAAAAAUUAGAUUUUUGCAAUGACGAAACUAGGCAUAUUGUAUACACUAUCAUCAAUUUAAAUUUAGGGUUAUAAUCGCAUUUUUGCCACCUACAUUAGCUGCAUGUCUCCCACCUGUAUUCCAAUUUCUCUAUCUCAUUUGUUGACCCUGUUAUUUCAUCUCUCACUUUUCUAUACCCCUUUCAUUUCUUCUUCUUUCGUACACCUCUUCAUUCCUACUUCACCUCAACUCUCUCAUUCAGAUCUUUCAUCCACUUAACGUAGCAUUAUUUUUAAGUGUUCAUUGUUGAAAACACGAAUGUCAUGAUCACCAAAUUUUCUCAUUUUUUUUCGUGUUGCCAAAAGUCAUCGAACUAAGAUUCAUUGACCUUUUGUCGUUGAAAUGAUAUUGAGGUCCCUACCAAACUGAAAUGAGUCAUUCACGGGAAUUAAAGUAUACAUUUUUUUAAAUUUCUUUGUUAAAAAUCCAACAUUUCUUACUUAUGGAUUCCAAUGGAAAUUUUUUGUAAUUUUUUUCUUAAAAAUGACUCAUUUUAGAUCAUAUGAGGUUUUCCAUCCCCAAAUUUUCUACUUUUUUCGUGUUGUCAAAAGUCAUCCAUGUUAACUUGGAUUCACUGACCUUUUUGCAUUGAAAACAAUAUUGAGGUCCCUACCGAUAUGAAAUGAGUCAUUCACUACUGACUUAGGGAGUCAAUCAAGGUAUACAUUUGUUUAAAUUUCCUCUUAAAAAAUUUGACUAUUCUUACUUUUUCUGAGUUUUUAGUGGAAUAUUUUUGUAUUUUUCUCUUAAAAAUGGGUCAUUUUAAAUCAUAAAAGGUUUUCUAUUUACAUUUUUUGUAUUAUUUUGGUUAAAGAAAUCUUUGACAUCCUUUUUAUGGCUAAAAUGAGCCAUUCACUAUUUACUUUGGGAGUCAAUGUGUUGGACCAGACUACCACUGGGGAGGAGUUCCAUUGUUACAUGGGCAUGGGAAGAGUGAAGAGUCACAAGUGAGACACCACAUCUUGAACCAAAACCUUAAGGCAUUAGUUUCAUAGGUCUUUCCUUCUUAUAAACUCUUUCGCUCCUCCCUACAUAUCCAAUGUGGGACUUCACACUUGAAUAAAUCCAACAAUCUCCCCCUCAAGUGUGGGUACCACACUUUCCGGUCCGCUCCCCUUCAGUCCACCAUGUCCCAGCCGAACCAUCGGCAAUGAUACCACUUUAUGGACCAGAAUGCUACCGGGGAGCCUCCAACCGUCGGGGAGUUCCAUUGUUACAUGGGUAUGGGAAGAGUGAAGAGUUACAAGUGAGACACCACGUCUUGAACCAAAAGUUUUGAUAUUUUGAUAUUUUUUUAAUAUCAAAAUACAGUAUUUUUUACUUUAUCUUGGUUUUCAUAUUUUUUUGUAGAUUCAUUAGUAAAAAUGAGGCCUUUAAUAUUGUAUCACAAAGUUUGCUGUUUAUGAGUUGUUGGCAUCACUACAAUUAGGGGCAUACGUAAUGAUUUAUGAUCUCCUAUUGUAUUGGUACCCACUUUCAAAUGUGUGGUUUAUGACCUUUAAUGUUUUUGAUUGAUUUGAGUGUUUUGAAUGCCAUUACAAUUUUUAUUACUAGCUUUACUCUAAAAUGAAUUGAAGAAGAAAUAUAUUACCUUCUAUGAUAUUUGAUAUGCAUUACUAAUGACUUAUUUAUUAUGUAAUAUUCUCUGAUAUUGUGUUUGAAAUUACUGCUAAAUGAUCUUUACUCUCUACCCAUUUUCAUUAUCAUUGAUUUUCAAAAUCAUUAUUAUUGUUUUUCAUUAUCACAUCAAUAUGCUAUCCUCACUGAUUCUAAUUUUUGCUGGUUGUUACUACCUUAUAUCUUUCCACUAAGUGGUAGUUAAUUUACGGUAUAACCACUUUGGAUAUUGGGUGCAUAUUUUGUUUUUACUGAUUAGCUUCAGUUGUUGAAUGAUAAUCUUUCAUUGGGUCUAAAGUUUAUGAAAUUGACUCUCUACAUGUCCAUCGUCACUUGGUGUUCAUUUUUUCACAUUAUAAUUUUAAUGUAAGUAAAGAUCACAAUUCAUACCUCAAUUAUUUUGACUAUUCCAUGUCUAUGUCUAAUAGACAUUGUCACAACUUGAAUUCAUCUAACUCUCUACAUUUGCUUUCAUCGUUGGUGGUUGUACAUUUCAUUGUUGACAUAUAUUAAUGUUUGUACAUUCUCUUAUCUAUUAUUUUUAUGUGUGUACUAAAUUGUUUAUUAAGUAAUGGAUGAUUCUUUGUAGUCUAUGUUUAUUAGACAUCCUUAAUUACUACUUCUUGAUUUACCAGAUGAACUCUUGUAUUAUUGUCUUCUCUUAACUAAAUUGCUGAAUGAAUAAUUGUUAAAUGGUUUUUAACUGUUGCUGCAGUAUCAUUUUUACUAUGACAUGCUAUUACUAAAUUGGGUUUGGGCAUUUUGUUGUACAAUGCUUACAUAUUGGGCAUAUUAGUGUUAUUAAACUUCGUCCAUUGUUUGAUCUAUUUAAUUUUUUGAAAAAAGGUUUUUGCAAUUACUAAAUUGGUCAUAUUGUGUACACAGUACACUAUGAUCGAUUUCAAUUCUGGGUUAUAAUCAUCUUUUUGUUACAUACUUUACUUACAUGUCUCUCACUUGUAUUCCACUUUUUCUAUCUCAUGUGUUGAAAAUGAUACUUUAUUUCCCACUUUCUGUAUAAUUUUAAUAAUUUUUUUCUUUGUUUGAUUAUUACACUGUUGAAUAUCCUGAUGAUGGAUAAAGUUAAGUCUUAUGUUGAGAGUCAUGUAUUCAAUAAUAAUAAUAAGGUAUGUAUAAUAUGUGGUAGCCUACUUGCUCACCUCUAGAAAAAAUGGUCUUGACUUUUUUUUAUCUUACUAUAAUACUAUUAUUUCAUUAACUUAUUGUUAUAUAUGUUUUACUGAAAUGUUGUUAGCAUUUUUGUAUAUCUUAAUCUUUUUUUUUAUGGUGGCUUAAUAUUUUCAUAAAUUAGUCUCUAUUGUAUUAAUGUCAAUAAUAUGUCAGUUCGAGUUGAUAAAAGAUUUGAAUUAUUCAAAACAUAUGUGGAAGAUUGUUGUCAGAAUUACAAAAAAUUGGUAUGCGCAACUUCCACCCAAACCUGGACAUCUGGAAAUGAUAUUGAUGGACUGUAAGGUGAUAACAUAUCCUAUAAUUUUUAAUAUGUUUGAAAAAUUACUAAUGUCCAAUUGUUUUAAUUAAUUCAGGGAGACAAGAUCCAAGUUCAAUCAAUGGAGAGAACAUUUGAUUGAAAAUAACACCUAUUUCAUGCACAAUUUCAAUGUGAUGCACAAUGAUCUCUCAUUUAAGGCAUGCAAUCUUGUCAACAAAAUGUAGUUUACUGCUAGUACAAUUAUGAAAGAUAGAGACUUUCCUGAUGUUCUUCAAUUUGAAUAUGAUUUAUAAAAGUUUGGUAAGAUAUUUGUUGUGAACUUUCAAAGUGAUGUGUUAGUAGGUUAGUUUUUUUCUUAAAUAAUAUAUAUUUUCAUAUUCUUCUAUUUAUUAAAUUUCUAUUAUAUUACAACUUUAUUUUUAUUAUUUUAUUAGAGAUUAUUGGAGGGAAGAUUUUCUCCUAAAUACAUGCUUCUUUAAAGAAGGUUAUUUUAAAUCUUAUAGAUUCCAAAUGCAAGUAAGUGAAAUGUGAUUUUGUUUUUUAUUCUAACAAAUUAACUUAUUUUAUUUUACACAAUGUUUUUAGGCAUAAAUUUGUAAUCAAUGAUGACCAGAGGCGGAACAUGUAAAGGGCAGGUGGGGGCAACUGCCCCCCUGAAUUUUUAGUUUUUAUUUUAUUAAAGUAAUAUUUUUUUUACCUCUUUACCUAUAGCAAUAUAUCCUAUGUUGUUUCAUGUGUCACGGGUUAUGGUUGAGUAUUUAAUUAUUAAACUCUUAAAUUAUAAAAACUGAUAUAUAUAAUGACAUAUUUUUGGAAAAACAUAUGUGCUUCACUUUAUCCACCCAAAUGACGUCUUUAUGGAAAUACACAUUUAUAGAUUAUAAAUAAAUAUAGUAUAACAUGUGUUAUUCUUCAAAAAACUAUACAUAGUUGAUAAAAAAAAAUCUUACCUAUGUAGAUGUUGAUGUUGCUUAUAAUAAUAUGAUUUAAUUUAAGUUAGUAACUAUUUUACAUUUGAUCAAAGAUGUUAUGUAUGUAUUGAUAAUAUAUACACUAAUGAUGCUUAUAAUUUAUUUAAUAUUUAUAAGAUAUGUAUUUUUGUCAAAAAUCUAUUAUGUGAAUUUCAAUUAGCAACAAAAGAUUAGUUUGAGAUAUCAAUUUCAAAGUUUUGUUGUUCUGUCGUUAGUCAUUCAAGUUUGAAAAAUUCUCAAUCAUAACAAAAACAAAUUCUCAAUCAUUCGUCGUUAGUCAUAUAUUGUUUCAUCUUAUUUUAGCUAUUAUGGUUUAGUUACUACAUAAAUAUCAUUUUCAGCGACAAAAAUAACUAAACAAAAUUAUGUAGUAAGAUAGAAUAUAAAUUUCUUGUAAAUUAUAUAGUAAUUUAUAUUGAAAAGGAAAUAACUGAAAAUUUUAUUAUAUAUGAUCCUUCGUAUUCAUCGUUACUCAAUUAAUUUUAGUAAUAAAAUUGUAGUUAAAUAUUGUUGCCCCCUCUAAAAUUUAGAUCAAGAUCCGCCACUGAUGAUGAUAUUAUCACCUAUACGCUAUGAGAAUCACAUGCCAUGAAGUUUUGUAACUAUUACCACAAUCAAACCAUUGGUGAGCCCAUGAUUAUUCUAUUCACACAUGCUAGAGUCAAAGAAGGAUAGAGUAUUUUUUUAUCAGUUAAGAGUUACUAAUUAUUCAUUAAACAUUCAUUUUUUGACUUUUACAUUGAUUGUGUUGUAGGUAAGUGACUACCCUCUAUGAGCAAUUCAUGGUAUGGAUCAAAAAUUAUGAUGGAUGAUAAAAUUUCGGAUUUUCAUAAAUACAAAGAUAGGUAUAAUGAAAUUACAUUUAAGAUAAUUGUGGUAUUAUAUUCAUAUUAAAAUUUGAUUUUGUAAUUUCUAUAAGUCCAUUACAAUUUUGUUUCUUUAUCAUAUUCAUAUGAUGGUUUUUGUAUUAUUUGUUUUUUGUAUUUUUUUCAACUUUCAAUUAGUCUUGUAACACAUUGAGCCAAGGUAACAACCAAUUGUCACAAUAUUCCAAUUUAUUUAAUGAUGACUGAUUUAUGUAUAAGGUUGAAAUCAAGAUCAUCUCUGAAAUUGCUGCAUGAACAUCAACUGAGAUAAAUUUAUUUUAUGUUUACUAGUUUCUUAUGAGUUAUGCCCUAUCACAAUUUUAUAAAUGUAUAAGAAAUAAUUUUUAUUACUAUUGGAACAACGACAAUGUUUAUUAUUGGGAAACAAUGAUGGUAUUAUGAUUGUUGUUUGAAAUGCACUAAGAAGGUUGAGGUUUAAGAUGUCCCUUCUCUUGCAAGUGUGGAACAUAUAAUUUGUGUUGUACCCCAACGUAAAAAAAAACUUCAUUAUUGAUGUUUCAUUUAUACACUGAGAUUUUUCAAAAUUUUAAUUACUUAUAAUAUGACUUUCUUUUUAGGUACAAAUUGGACAUUAAGAUUAUUCACCAAAAUGGAAGCAAAAUGUUUGUGUUUUGGGAUCAUCAAUGUGCUGACAUCAUUAAAAUAUUUGCAUCCGAGCUUAGAAAUCACAUGGUUACAAUAAGUCUUCUUACAUUUCUCCAUUUAUAUAGGCUCAUAUCACAUUAAUACACAAUAUUAGAUAGUUGACAAAUACAUUUAUUCAUUUUAUAAAGCAUUAUUUUAUAUGUAGAAAGGGGAGGAUGAUCCAAAGGCCUCCCGUCUAAUUCUUGACAAAAAUUUCUAAAUAUUUUCUCCGUUAUAAGUUCCUUUAUUUCCCAACUUUAUUUUUUUAAUAUAAACAAUUUUAUUAUGAUGUUACAAUUAUGUUCUUUAGAUUUUGCAUUGUUGUUGCUGAUUUUCCUAUGAAUGAACAAGCUUGCUGUUCAAUUUUGUUGUUCUUGACCUAUGCUUAAAUAAAUCAAAUCCUCUAACUAUGUAACUCAAGUGUUAAUAUAAAAACAUCUACAUUGUUCAUCAUUUUUGCAGUUUUUAAAAUUUCAUACUGGCUUCAAUUUUGGGAUGCAAUCUGUUGUUCCCCAGUUAUUGUUCACAUUACAACUAUAUUCAUUCUUUGAGAGAUGAGUUAGUUGAUUGGCAUAUCCAAUAUUCUGUGAUUGAUUCUGAAUAAUGUUUGUUGUAUUGUAAUGUUUUCAAUGCAAGCAUGUUAUGGACUAUCCUAUUAUCAUCUUUUCCUUGCUCUGCUAUGUAGCUUUUUAUAUUCAUAGUAUUAUCAUUUUAUACUUUGUUUACAUUACAUUGUGUGAUGUAGAAGACUAUCAUGUGGACAUUUAUUCUCAAAAUUUCUUCUGUAUGAAUUACAAUUCUAUGGACCUUCAUUCUAUACACUGUUAUAUGGAUACAAUUAUAUGGAUUUACUUCAUAACAUAAUGAUUAACAUAACAUCAUCACAAAUUUUCCCUUUUAUACGAGUUAUUCUAAUUUUAUAUCAAGGUAAUCAUUUAUAAAGCGAAUAUAGUAGUGUUGAAAAGUUUUAUUUCGACUACAAGUAGUUAAGAUUGAUUUUAUUAAUUUACACCCUUUCCUGUUGAAAUAACCAUAUAUUUAGUUGCGAAAUGCAAAUGAUGGAAUGUCAAUCAAUAAAAUCAAGAGGCAGUAGAAUGUAAAUAACAGAAAGUAAAUGUUAGUGGUUAUAUUUAUUAAUUCACUACUCUUUUAUUGUCAAGUAACACUCCAUUGAUUUAAAUUUAACUUUUUGUAUGUUGCUUUUAUUCACAGUUACAAAUCAUGAUUUUUUUUGAUCGGCAAUUGUUAGUUGUUAGUUUUUUGAUCGGCAAUUGUUAGACUCCACCCUCAACCUCUUACACCCUACCAUCUAACCAUCUUAUAACUCCCAAUUACAAAUCAUGAAUUGAUUUGCACUUUUGUGAAUAGACUAUUGUCACUACCGAUUUUUGUGUGGGUGUGACAAGAAAUAUGCAAUUAAAUACAAUGGAGUCGCCAUCGAUGUUUUUUUAGAGGGAAAACAUGAAAAACCAAUUUUUGAAAAUAUGGUUGAUUCACUCAAAAAUAGAAGUUGAGUUCGGGAGUCGGUUACGGAUGAGGAAGGUAUUAGGCACCUCAUACUGCCCAUUGUAAAAAUGGUACCUAGAUCAGUUAUGUGAAUAUUUAUUCAAAACAUUAAUUUUACCCUCACAUUAUUAAAGAAAAUAAAGAGAGAAAAAAGAUUUUUUUUUAUUUUUUUGUGGGUCUGAUGGAGAAAUAACUGCUAUCACGUAUCUCCAGCUGCAAUAGAGAAAUCAAGACUACGUAGUUCUUUCUAAAAUAAGUUUUAUUAGUGAUAUAUUUUUUUUAUUUUAUUAUGAAAUUCACAACAUGAAGUAGUGCAACAAGGCACUAGGCCUAUAGUGGGAUACCUCACGUUGCUUUGAAAAAUUAUUAAAAAUCUAUUCACAACAUAAGGUAACGCGACAAGGUAAUGGACCUAUAGUGGGUCGCUCAUAUUGCUUUAAAAUUAUUAGAACAACAUGAGGUAACACAACAAGACAAUAUGUCUAUAGUAGGUUACUUCAUAUCGCCUUUAAAAAAUUAAAAGAAAUGAAUUUACAACAUAAGGUAACGCGACAAUACACUAGGUCUAUAGUGGGUUACCUCAUCGUUUUUUUUUUAAAUUAAUUGAAAUGAAUUUUACAACAUAUUAUAACGCAACAAGACACUAGGUCUAUAGUGAGUUACCUCAUAUCGCUUUAAAAAAUUAAUUGAAAUGAAUUUACAACGUAAGGUAACGCGACAAGACACUAGGUCUAUAGUGAGUUACCUCAUAUCGCUUUAAAAAAUUAAUUGAAAUGAAUUUACAACGUAAGGUAACGCGACAAGACACUAGGUCUACAGUGGCUUACCUCACAUCGCUCUUAAAAAUUAUUUGAAAUGAGUUUACUACAUAAGGUAACGCGAUAAAACACCGGGUCAAUAGUGGGUUACCCCAUAUCGCUUUAAAAAAUUUAAUCCAAAUGAAUUUAUAACAUAAGGUAAGGCGACAAGACACUAGGUCUAUAGUGGGUUACCUCACAUCGCUCUUAAAAAUUAUUUGAAAUGAAUUUAAUACCUAAGGUAACGCGACAAGACACUAGGUCUAUAGUGGGUUACCUCAUAUCGGUUUAAUUUUAAAAAUGUCAAUUUAAGGUAACACGACAGGGUACAAGUCUCAUAGUGCAUUACCUCUCAUUGAUUUAAUUAAAUUAUUUUGAAAGUGCCAAUUUAGAGUAAUGGCGACAGGGUACUGGUCCCAUAGUGCACUACCCCUUACUAGUUUAAUUUUGAAAAUGUCAAUUUAUGGUAACGUGAUAGAAUACAAGUCCCAUAAUACAUUACCUAUUAUUGAUUUAAUUUAGUUGUUUUAUAUUGCAUUUAUGUAUACACCAAAACAUAUUAAUAAUUUAUAAAAGAGAAAAAUAAAACAAAUAGAUCAAAUAAAAAAAUAAAAAAAAUAAAAAAACAGAAAUAAUAAUAUAAUAAAUGAAUAAAAAAACGAAUUUUAAUAAUAAUAAAAAAAAGAAACAAAAAAACUAAACAUACACAAAACGCAAAGCAUACAUAAAUAAAUAAAUAAAAACAGAAUAAAAAAAUUAAUUAAAUAAAAAAACUAAAUUAAAAAACAGAAUGAAAAUAAUAAUUAAAUAAAAAACGAAAAUAAAACAAAAAAACUAUAUAGUGAACUAAGGAAUUAGGAAUUGAAAUUGGGGGUUUUAGGGUUGGGGGUUUCAAAUCAAUUUUGGAAUUUGUAUGGUGAAAAUAAUUUGGGAUUUAGGGUUGAAUUGAAUUGGGGAUUUAGGGUGAAAUUAAAUUGGGGGUUUAGGAUAAAAUUAAAUUUGGGGGUUUGGGGUAAAAUCAAUUUAGGGGUUUAGGGUUAAAAUCAAUUUGGGGUUAGGGUUAAUGGUAAAUUUAGGGGUGUAAGCGGUUCCGGUUUAAACCGCGAAACCGAUGGAAUCGAACCGAACCAAACCGUAAAAUGUGGUUCGGUUCGGUUUCACGGUUCGGUUCGGUUAUUUUUUUAAGGAACCAUUUAUGUUCGGUUCGGUUUAUGGUUUUAGCAAUUUAGGAACCGUUGGAACCAAACCGAACUGCAUAUUAAAGAAAUAUAUACAAGGGAUUAGGGAAUAAUGUUUUAUGAUUGUUUAAAUUCUUCAACCAAUUUUCUAGCUUAAAUUAUCAUUUUUCGUGAAUUGUAGUAUUAUAUAUGUUACUAAAUUGUUAUUAAGCUAGUAUGAUAUAUGUUAUUAGUUACUAAAUUGUUUCCUAUUGUCUUAUGAUUUCGAACAUAUUUACAACUUUUGUGAUAUUGAGUUUGAAACUAACAUAUAUCAUAUAUUAUUAUACAUGUAUUGUUACAUGUGUUACUAAUUAUAAAAUGUAAGGUUACAAAAAUAACUAUUAUAUAUUUUACUAAUUCAUAUAUAUGUUACUAAUCAUGAAUUUUAUUGUUAUAUAUGAUUCAUAAUUUUUUAUAAUAGUAGUAGUAAUGUUUAUCUUUUUAUGGAUAAACAAUAUCUCUUGUAAUACAUUUUGAAUUUUCAAUUCAUGGAAGAUUUUUUAUAAAAAAGUAAAUGGAAUAACCGUGGAACCGAACCGAACCGAACGAUUCAAGAGCGGUUCAGUUCAGUUCUUAUAGUUAAAUUUUCGGUUAAUAGAGCGGAACCGAACCAUAUAUUUUUGAUCGGUUCGGUCACUAAAAUGCACCAAAAACCGAACUGAACCGAAUUUUUACACCUCUAAUGGUAAUGCGAGAUGUUCAACAACGAAAUUAGUUUCCAAACACAAGUAUUUACAUACAUUAUAAUAAUAAAAAGAGAAUAAAACAAAUAAGAAGAUAAAUACCUCUUUAGAGCUUAUGGAGAAUGAAAAAUGAAGAAUAAUGAAGAAGAUGAUACAUUUGCUUUAGUUUCUCCCUUCUCUCCUUUUUUUCUUUCUAGGUGUGCCUUUUUCUCUUUCAAAAAUUAGGAUUACCUCCCUUUUUUUUAUGAUUCCCCCCUUUCUGAGUUGCUAAGUUAGAUAUUAUAAAGCGGUUGGGGAUUAGGGUUUCUGGUUGGGCUAGGGAAAAAGCCCAGUUGCCACAAUGUUUGAAAUUCAAAAUUUCCCUUUUUUUUGUUUUUUGAAAUUUUUACGCCGGUCAAAAUUGAGUGUUUACAGUUUCCCCUCUUUACUUGCUUAUCACGAUGAGAAGGAAGUAAAGAUAAAAAAAGACCAAGUUUUGAUUGGGGAAUAACACACGGAGGAAGAAGCUUCAAGCUCAAGCAUAUAGCAUGAACUCGAGGUUAGCAGCUAAAGAGCUCACGAGUCCAAAUGUUGACCAAAAGAGAUCACCAAGGGGUCAAAGCACAAUCACGCGACCGCUGAGGGGUCAGAAAGCAAAAGGAUAAAAGAGACCGUUGAGAGGUCAAAGCACAAUCACACGACCGCUGAGGGGUCGGGAUGGAAAAUGGUAAAAGAGAUCACUGAGGGGUCGAAACACAAUCACGUGACUACUGAUGGGUCGAAGCACAAUCACGCGAAUACUAAGGGGUCUGGGUGGAAAAAGAUAAAAGAGACCACUGAGGGGUCAAAGCACAAUCACGCGACCGUUGAGGGGUCGGGGUGCAAAAUGAUAAAAGAGACCACUGAGGGGCGAAGCACAAUCACGCGACCACUGGGGUCGGGGUGCAAAAGGAUAAAAGAGACCACUGAGGGGCCAAAGCACAAUCACGCGACCACUGAGGGGUCGGGGUGAAAAAGGAUAAAAUAGACCACUGAGGGGUCGAAGCACAAUCACGCGACCGCUGAGGGGUCGAGGUGCAAAAUGAUAAAAGAGACCACUAAGGGGUCGAAGCAUAAUCACACGACCACUAAGGGGCUGGGGUGCAAAAGGAUAAAAGAGACCACUGAGGGGUCGAAGCACAAUCACGUGACCACUGAGGGGUCGAAGCACAAUCACGCGACCGCUGAGGGGUCGGGGUGCAAAAGGAUCAUAGAGACCACUGAGGGGUCAAAGCACAAUCACGCGACCGCUGAGGGGUCGGGGUGCAAAAGGAUCAUAGAGACCACUGAGGGGUCAAAGCACAAUCACGCGACCGCUGAGGGGUCGGGGUGCAAAAGGAUACAGAGACCACUGAGGGGUCAAAGCACAAUCACGCGACCUUUGCGAGGGGUCAAAACACAAUCACACAACCACUGAGGGGUCGGGGUACAAAAGGAUAAAAUAGACCACUGAGGGAUCGAAGCACAAUCACGCUACCGCUGAGGGGUCGGGGUGCAAAAUGAUAAAAGAGACCACUGAGGGGUCGAAGCACAAUCACGCGACCAUUGAGGGGUCAGGGUGCAAAAGGAUAAAAGAGACCACUAAGGGGUCGAAGCACAAACACGCGACCGUUGAGGGGUCGGGGUGCGAAAUGAUAAAAGAGACCACUGAGGGGUCGAAGUACAAUCACACGACCACUAAGGGGCUAGGGUGCAAAAGGAUAAAAAAGACCACUAAGGGGUCGGGGUGCAAAAUGAUAAAAGAGACCACUGAGGGGUCGAAGCACAAUCAUGCGACCGUUGAGGGGUCGGGGUGCAAAAUGAUAAAAGAGACCACUGAGGGGUCAGGGUGCAAAAGGAUAAAAGAGACCACUAAGGGGUCGAAGCACAAUCAUGCGACCGUUGAGGGGUCGAGGUGCAAAAUGAUAAAAGAUACCACUGAGGGGUCGAAGCACAAUCACACGACCACUAAGGGGCUGGGGUGCAAAAGGAUAAAAGAGACCACUGAGGGGUCGAAGCACAAUCACGCGACCGUUGAGGGGUCGGGGUGCAAAAUGAUAAAAGAGACCACCGAGGGGUCAAAACACAAUCACACAACCACUGAGGGGUCGGGGUACAAAAGGAUAAAAUAGACCACUGAGGGAUCGAAGCACAAUCACGCUACCGCUGAGGGGUCGGGGUGCAAAAUGAUAAAAGAGACCACUGAGGGGUCGAAGCACAAUCACACGACCACUGAGGGGUCGGGGUGCAAAAGGAUAAAAGAGACCACCGAGGGGUCAAAGCACAGAUUAUGAGGAACUCUGGGUAAAAAAUGAAAGAACACUUGUGGUCAAGACUUUCAGCCAUGCAUGCAUAUGAUAGUGCUAAUGCAAAUGUUGUAUGAGUAAUGCAAAAACGUUUAUAAUGGUACAUGCAUGAUGAGUUAUACAUAUGUGAAUGACUUGAUUAUCAUUAUAAAGUUUGAUUGAUAUAAAACCAUAAUGCUUCUUCGGUAGACAACAACUAAUCAAGCUGAUAUUGAUCAAAACAUUUUUUUUUUCUUCUUCUUCUUGUUUUUUUUUGGAAUCUCCUUAGGGUGCUUCCUUCCUUCCUUAUAGAAAAAUACAUUAUCUGUUCCUCGUCGAUAUACACCUCGAGACAUAGUUCCGACGAGUUUUGUUUGCUUCAACCGCUAGUGAAAGACAAUAACAUAAAAGUUACCUGAUUAUGCAGUUCGAACAUCAUAUUUAUAUAACUUGAGACUUAUCUAAGUGAACAUGCACACAUUAAUGUAUAGUAGGGAGAUGAAUAAAUUUUCUUUUAUUCAAGGAAUUUUAAUAGGAAGAUUUAAGAAUAUAUAUGUUAUGAGAAGUAUUACAAGUUACAAAAUUUGGCAAAAAUUUUGCUCUAGUAUAAGGUAUUUGCUUAUUUAUCAAUUGACCUCCUAAGAUGGCCAAAUAACUGGACCAUCGUGCUAGCCUUGUUUGGUACUCCCAAGAACUCCAUAUUUCAUCCCCUAAUGCCAGAAACGUCUUCAAUUCCAACUUGAUGUGCAAAUACAUGGAGGAUUAUGGCUUUCCCAUAUAGUAGUAGGCUUUCAAGAUAGUCGCCUUUUCCUUGCCCUAACUUUUGCUAGGUUGCCCUUUCGGGUUUUUAACCUAACGAGCUUUUUUUUUCAUUCUGACCCCAACUUUUGCUUAGGUUGCUCUUUCGGGUUUUCAACCUAAUGGAUUUCUCAUUCAUACCCAAAAUUUUGCUUAUGCUGCCCAUUUUGGUAUUCAACCUAACAAACUUUUCUUUUAUUUCAACUUUCUAUUUUUAGGCAUAGACACUCUAGAUUGCAUCAGUACUCAUAGGUUUGAGUAAAACAUUUCCAUCCAUGUCUUAUAAGACUAGAACAAGUUACAAAAUUUUGCAAAAUUUUUGCCCUAGUAUAAGGUAAUUGCUCACCCAUCAAUUGUUCUAAUGAGAUAGCUGAAUAACUAGACCAUCAUGCUAACAUUGUUUGAUUCUUCCCAGAACUUCUUACUCAUUUCCACAUUGCUCAAAACUUCUAUGAUUCCCACUUGAUGCACAAAUAUGAGGGUGAUAUUGAUUCGCCUACAACAUUACAGACUCGUAAGAAAAAAAUGCCUUUUUAUUACGUUAACUUUUGCAUAGGUCGCCCUUUCGAAUUUUCAACCUACCAUGCCUUUAUUGACACCCAAAUUUUUGCUUAGGUUGCUCUUUCGAGUUUUCAACCUAACGGGUUUUUUUUCUUUCUUUCUUUCUUUUUUCUUUAUUUAGGCAUAUAAUCUCUUAAUUGCGUCUAUGUUCAGAGGUCUGAGUAAAACGUUCUCAUCCAUGUCUUGCAGGAUCAGAGUUAUCCAUGAGAAUGCAUUCUUGACAAUCUAGGGACCUUAUGGCUUGGGGUAUAUUGUUCACGAGCAUCUCCUUGAUUUUGGAGGAUCUUUUUAAGCACUUAGUCUCCAACUUCGAAUUCUCUAGAACUAACCUUCUUAUCAAAAACUCUUGUCACUCUAUGUUGGUAUAAUUGACCAUGAUGGCAAAUGGCCGCCAACCUUUUCUCUUCAAUCAUGAACAAUUGCAUAUACUUGAGGUUAACCCAUACCGACUCUUCUUGCUCUGCUCCAUCAAGACUCUUAACAAAAGAAUCUCUGUUUUGUUCAAAUUUCAAUAGUUCAUCCACAUUCUCAGUUUCUCUCCUUUUUUGGGUUCCAAUACAAUAUUAGUCACUCAUUCUGUAUGUCGAGACAUUUCUAUGAAACCUGACUACCAUUAUUUCAUUAUCUCUUCCUUUACUCCUCGGUCAUCUUCUCCAUCACCAAUCUCAAUGGGAUGAUUAUCAGGUACCACAAAAGAAUCAAUUGAUAAAUGUUCAAGUACCCUAUAACUAGACAAAAUCUCUACAAAAUUGUUAUACAUGUAUUGAUUUAUGUAACAUCAUGGAAAGAAAUGGGACAUACAUAUGAAUGUUCACAAUAGUUUGGAGGAAAGGUAAAUAUGUAGAAUGGAGAUGAUAAAAAUGGAUGAAUGGAGAAGAAUCAUUAGAUAGUCAUGCAAAUUCACUAAGAUAUUGUCUCAAGUAACAUAAAUAUAAGUCCAAAGAAAAUUCAAAGCGUAUGAAUUACAACAUAAUCAAGUAAUUACUAUGCAACUAUGUCAAUCAUUGGCUUGGAUCCUUCUCUUCGUCAGGAAGGAUGACAUGAUUUACGAACGAUUUGUCUUUGUCCAAGGCAUUGAUGGAGAGUUGGAAAUAAGGAUCAAUGACAAAACCCUUCUCCUCGUCCCGUCAUCUAUGUUGACACCUGGAUUCCUUCAUUUUAUGAAUUGUUAGCCUUCAUUGUUGUUCGCGCUCUGGUGUUGAAAAUAUGACUUUGAUUAACAUUGUUUUUCCAAGGUCGCGUUAUGAUUCCAUUUUUUAAUUUGUGACUCGCUGUUUGGUUUAAAAAAAUUAUUUUUGAAUUAUUGAAACUAUUUCCAUUAUCGAACGAAGAAAUUUCCACAUAACUUGUUGACCACCCUACAACCGUUUUCUAGGGUUAUAACCCCUCUAGAUCGUGUACUGGUUGUCGACAAUCAUAGAGAGAGCACACAGACCCCACAAUAUGACUGCAUCUGUUUUGUUGAUAAUUUAUGGUCUUAUGAUAUAUAGAAUGAGACAUCGUUCAAUAAAAGAUCUAAAAGAACCUAUGAUAAUGUCAGUCCUUUCACAUAUGUGUAAGUAAUAGAUGUAUGACUAUGAAUGCACUUGACAUAAGUGAUAUAAUGAAUGUUGCAAUGACAUGAAUGUUGCGUGAAUCCUCUAUUUUCUUUUCUUUUUCUUUCAAUUUUUUAGGGAUGCGACAUGCAUGAAGAUGAAUGAUAGAGUGCAUGAAUGCAAGUAACACAUUUUUGUUAUUUGUUUUACACAUGAUAUGGUUAUAGAUGCUACUAUGAAAUGAUUUUCUUUUUAAAUGCAUGACAUGCCCAUGAAUGUUAUAAUGUUUUUUUUUUGCUGUUAUUUAGUGAAUAAUAUGCAUGUGAAUGCUAUGAUUUUUUUUUUACAUUUAUAUAGAUGUUAUUAUGAUUUUUUUUCAUGGGUGCAUGAUAUGCAUGUGGAUGGAAUUAUCAAAUAUUUUUUUUGUGAGCCUUCCAUCGUGGCAUAAGGAUAUCAAAGUGUAAUAGUACCUUAAUUCACCCAGGCUCAUGUGACAGUGCGUCAUUAUGAUCACGGGAUGGAAGUUUUCCCGACUUUAUGCCGAAAAAUAAAAUAACAAAUAAAAAUUUGCAUACUCCCGUGUCUUACAUAAAUGCGUUUGAUCCUACAAGGUUUGUUCAGUCUAAAAGGUCAAACCCUAGGUGGAGUUCUAAUGUCUAUAUAUGCAGAAUUUAGGUGGUACUAGACUUCAUCUAGGUUCCCGGACUGCCGUCACUAGUGAAAGCUGACAGCCCGGAUAUCACAAAUAUGACAUGAAGAUGUACGAGACACCAUGGGGGCCAUAUCCGUAAUACCCAGUAACAAUCCGAGUGAUACAUCAGCGAAAUACCGAAAUGUGCACGAAGACCCAAUGACGACAAGCCAAUGUACCCCUAACAAUAGGUAAAUAAGCCCGGUAGACGGCCGAAAGUAACCAUGCAUGAUAGUGAAGUGUGUGAAGGAGUGUACAAUCCUUGAUAACACAAAUGCACAAAAACAAAUAAUAACCCCCAAAACCUACACACAAUAGCAAAACACAAAUUCUAUGUACAAGAAUUAUUUACAAAUAAGUAAUAAAUAAAUAAAAAGUAAUAAAUAACAACAAGAAAAGUGGAACGAUAAAAAUUAAAAUAAUGAACUAAAUAUUCACAUACUUAAUCUUAUAAGGCCUGACUCUCAGCAUGUCCCCAGUGAACUAAAUAUCCACAAAAUUGGGUGUUUACAACUAGGUUUUCAACAAAUAAAAUUCAUUGAUAACACUUUAUUAUACUUGCAUCUCUUUCAAGAUUCAAUUGUAGUAUAAUACAGGGUUAUUUUGAUCCACAAGGAAUUGCCUAAUAGAAUAUAAUCAUAUUAUAGAAAAAAUAAUGAUUAAUAAAUUUUUAAAGGUUUUUAGUUUAUAUUAUUGCAUAGAAUGGCAAUGAAAUGUAAACUAUUUUUUUACAAAUUCUUGAGGAGAAGUUUUAGUUUGAAUGAUGAAAUUAUUUCUUAACUUGAUACAAGAUGAUUUUCAAACCUUGUAUAACACACUAAACAAUAAUUAACUACCACUCAUCGGAGCAGGUUGUCACACCCUACAUCAAGCUAUGUUGGCAUUGUUUAGCCUUGAAUACAAGUUGCUUAAAAUAGAUGCUUUGAUGUGGCAAGUGAACUAAGGUAUAGGUAGGGGUGUAAAAAUUCGGUUCGGUUCGGUUUUUGGUACAUUUUAGUAACCGAACCAAUCAAAAAAUAUGAUUUGGUUCCGCUCAAUUAACCGCAAAUUUAACUAUAAGAACCGAACCGCUCUUGAAUGGUUCGGUUCGGUUCCACAGUUUAUCCAUUUACUUUUUUAUAAAAAAUCUUCUAUGAAUUGAAAAUUCAAAAUGUAUUACAAGAGAUGUUGUUUAUCCAUAAAAGGAUAAACAUUACUACUACUAUUGUAAAAAAAUUAUGGAUCAUAUAUAACAAUAAAAUUCAUGAUUAGUAAUAUAUAUAUGAAUUAGUAAAAUAUAUAAGAGAGAAACAUUUUUCCAUUGUGCUAUCAUUUUCAUUCAUUUGAAAAACCCUGCAUAAACUUCACAUUUAGUUUUAGACUUAUUGUGAGAAUUCUGUAGACGGUUGUAGAGCCGAUAUUAGAGUUUUUAUUCUUGCAUUGAGUGUGAAAAUGACACGACUAAUAUUUCCAAAUAUAAGUAUUAAUUCUCGUGAUGUGUUAGUAUCAUCAUAGAAAAAAAUUUGUGUGUCUUCAUGGAGCAGGAAGUCUUGGAUCGAGCGAAACUUCGGCUAGGGCCAGAAUCGCGAACGAUAUGGUGUCCUAGUAGGCAAAGAGUGCGGUCAAAUCGAUCGUGUAGGCUCAACGGGUUCAAGAAAUGAGUUCUUGCUACGUGUAUCGGAAGAGUGCUUGUAAUCAAACAUUUGUUUCCAAUAGUGAAGAAAAAACUCCCAAUAUUAGAAGGGGGCCUGGAUGUAGUUUGCAAGUGGACCUGCAAACGAACUAGGAUAAAAAUCUUUGACCACUUUUCUUUCCCUAUCUAUUUUAUAUUUCAGUCUUCAUUGAUUUCUAUUUUGAUUGAAUUCUGUUAUUUGUGCUAAGUGUUAAUAAUUUGUGUAGAAUCAAAAAUCAACUUAGGGCAGCAAAGAUUAGUAAUCAUCACUAUUUGCAUUGUAAGAAAUUUGUUUUUCAAAGAUAUCAAGAUUCAGCAUAAUCAAUUAAAGCUAAACAUAAUCGAUUAAUGAAACUGUGCAUAAUCAAUUAAUAUUGAUAAUAAUCGAUUAACUGCAGAAGCUUUCUGUUUUGCGCAUUAAUAAAAAAAGUGGGACUAAUGAUCCCCGUCCAGGUAUAAUUUACCUUGUUGGUAUCCAACAAAUAUGUAUCAAAAUUUGUUUAUGUCAAAAAAAGCAGGAGUAGAUGCCAAGAAAAUAUGGUUAUAUAAUUGCUAGUUACUGUAUCCCAUUAGAAGACAAGAGUGAGACACCAGAGAUGCUUGACUCUCCAGGGUAGCUUAGAAUGGUUUGUGGUUAAUUGAUAUUUUUUGGUAAAUGGAAUAGUUUGUAAUUGCUUUGGGCUAUCUUGUCUUGGGCUUCUUUGUUUUUUUUAGUACUACCAAGAGUAUUAUUCCCUCAAAUGUUGUUAAGGAAUUAAUUUAUUUCAAAAUGUAUGACAUAUUGACCUCUUAAUUUUAGGAAUCUAGCAAAAUCUUACACUAUUGGAACAAUGCCUUGUUGGUUUUUGGGUUGUUUGUUACUGAAUGUGUUUAGUUAAUUUCAUUUUUCUGGCUAACAACUUCCUACAAAUAGGAAAGUUCAUUCUGCUUUUAUUGACACUGAGAAUUCAUUAAUCAAAGAGGCAUAGUUCGUUACAUUGCUUGCAAAGUAAUAACAGUUCACUGCAUAUCUUCUUCUCAAAAGCUUCUUCUUUCAAUUCUGGUUUGUUCAUUUUCGUUCCCUUUCAUUAUCUUUCUCUUCUUUCAAAAAUUUAGGGACUUCCAUACAAUAUUUUUUAUCUUUAGUGUGGAUUUAAUAAAAAAACUAUUAUAUAAAGAUCUAUAUAAAAAAUUUGAACAUAUUCUAAUUACACUGGUUGCAUAUAAUUUUAAACUCCCGGUUCCUUCUUUUGAGAUAAACAUAAACACAAAUUAGGGCAUAGAUCAUAAAUCAAUUGAUAAGAGUUGUUCUAGCAUAAUAAGGAUUCUCAAGUUCAAAUAUCUUGAAAUGUCUUGCAGGGUGAUUUGAUUUAAAUUGCAUAUCGCAUCACGUGAUGCAACCGCAAAUUAUUUUUUUAGUUUAUCAAUACAAGUUUAUAUCUUCUUGAUUCUUUAACAACUCUCCUACCUACUAUGUACACACACAAAAUUUACACUCACUUUAUCAUAUAUUUUGGUUCAAGCCAUUGAACAAAACUGAUAUAAAUGUAACUUUUUCUUUUCUAAUGAUUCAGAUGAUGUACAUAACCUACUCAAAAACUUGAGUACACUGAGUGAGUCAUCAACAAUGCAUGAUAUGGAAGAAGAAGAAGAACAUGAUGAAGGAAUAGUUGAAAGAGAAAACAAAGGGAAACAAAACAUGUUGAUUGGAAAAGAUGACGAAUAUAGCAAAUGGACACAUAUCCCUACUGAUAUUCUGGAAAUGAUAAUGAAGCGUUUGAAACUGAUAGAUUACCUUCGAACUAGUGCAGUGUGUUCAUCUUGGAAGGCUACUUUUACUGAAGUCAUUGCAAACAAGCAUAUCAAACCAUUACCUGAAUUGCCUCUUGUAAUCCUGCAAUCGCAAAAGAUUCCUACCUCAGCAAGCAGUGUUUUGAGAAUCAAAUCAGAAGAAAUAUGUUCAAAAAUGGAAUUUAGUUCUGUCAUAAACAAAAACACAAUGCUACAUGAUAUUAACCAUAUAUAUCAUGGCAUAGUUGAAGGAUGGAUGAUUUUGAGUAUUUCUCUUUUUGUUGGUACUGCCAAAAUCAUCUUUUUCUUGAAUCCAAUUACGAGUGAUGUAGUAAUUGUCCCUUCACCUUUGAAAUUUCCAUCAAACUCUCCUAUUCCAAGUACAUCAAAUUUGAAAAUGGGAAGAAUGGUGGCAUCUUCUAGUCCUAAGUGUAAAGAUUGUGUUCUGGUUUGUCUCUUUACUGAUUAUGCCCACAUUGCAUAUUGUAGAGUUAAUUUUGACAAAUCAUGGAAAAUGAUUGAAGCAAAGGGGGAUGUAGAAAAUUUUCUGGAUGUGGAAAUUUUCAAUGGUAAAUUGUAUGUUACAACUUACAUGCCAAACAUUGCUAUUUUAGUUUAUGAUCUGCCAGAUUCUACUGAGAAUCCUCCAAAGCCUAUAGUAUUAGCUGAGAUUCCACCAAUAAGGCCAUUACCAGAAUCAAGGACACAUGAAAAUCAAAUUCAUGUUAAGGGUAAUGUCAUUCGAUUUCUAACAACAGGUUAUGCAGCAGAAGAGUUAUUGCUCAUAUACUUGUUUAACAAUUAUGUUUUUGAAAAUGAUAAUGUUGCCUAUAUGAAUGUUGUCAAGCAAUAUGCAAGUCCCCCUCAAGUUACCAAAUGUGAAGUGUUCAAGUUAGACACAAGAAGUAAUAAGUGGGUGAAGCUUGAUCACUUGGGUGACAGAGUGAUAUUUCUUGGAUAUGAUAAGUCCUACGUAAUGUCAAGAACAUUACUUAAUUGCAGUGAAGAGUUAAUUGCAGAGAAUAGUGUCUAUUUUGCUCUUUACUUUCCAUGUCCAGAACCAUGGUCGAAAGCUCAAUUGGGGAGGCUUUGUUUGACUGAUAACAAGAUCAAGUACUUUUCUUUGGAGGAAUUUGGAGUUGAACUAUAUGCUUACCCUUCCUGGUUCUUACCAAGUGCUUGGUAGUUCGUUAUUUUGCUGCUUACAUUUGCUUUAGGUUUCACCAUUGUCAUCUAUGAAUUGAUUGAUAUUUUUUUUGUAUCAUACAUUUUCAUGAAUCCUCCAUGCUAAAAGUGGUGUAAUAAUGUAGAAAAAGAAUCACAUAAUUUGGAAUUAAAGUCGUUGCUGAUCGCUGUUUUGAUGCAAAAUAUAUGGUACGAUAUGCCGUGCAAGGAAGUUAAUCCAGAAAAAGAGCAUUAAAUUGUAAAGCUAACAAAACAAGAAAAGACUUAUCUGAACUCUUCCUUCAACAACCAUUCUUUUUCAAGCUCUUCCUCCAGUUUUCUCUGCAGAAGAUCCAGUUCUGCAUCAGUAGUAGUCUCACAUCUAGCUUCCUCUGUUUUUUGCUUGCAUGCAUCAAUUUUUUCCUGAUAAUCUGAUUCAUCUAAGCACAGGUCAAAUGCAUAAUACAAUAAAGAGGAUCUGCUCAUACUCCAUAACAUGAACAUUAACUAGUAGAAAAAGGGUAGAGUUUGUAGUGGAGUUCUUUUAGAUCAUAAUAGACAGCAUGCCAUACUUAAGCUACUUCCACGCGAACCACAAGCAAACUUUCCAGCAGCAUUAAUAAGAAUUCUAGAGAAUGAGGGAAGAAAAAAGAGAGACUAUCACAUUCCAUACCCUUCUCAUUCACUCCAUUCCUCCCUAAAUACUCAUCUAAUCAGACGUAAUCCUUGAGGAGGGUGUUAGGGACACGCACCCUCUCUCCAUUCCUUGUUCCCUCAUUUCCAGCAAUGCUAACAAACUCUUUUUUCUUGCCUAACCGUUUCAUGUGGUCCCCUACUGCUGACUCACCCUCUUCUAGAAGUUGUGGCCCUUUCUUCAUUACAAUGUUAUCCCCAUUUGAAGCAACCUUGUCCUCAAGGUUAAGAGAAGGAAAUUCAAGUUGUAUCUCUGCAAGAUUUUCCCAUGUUGCUUUGGUUGGAGAUGUGUUCUCCCAUUGUACCAACACUUGUGGAAUUAAUUGAGUUCCUCGUAUGAUAGUUCGUUGAUUGAGUACGGCUUUAGGCAUGAUCACUGGUCAUGUGUCUGCGGUUGUUAAAGGCAAAGGCAUAUAAGUUUCACUUGAAUCUCCUCUAAACUGUUUUAGCUGUGAGACAUGAAAAACUGGGUGUACUUUUGCUUGUUCUGGUAGUUGUAACUUGUAAGCUACCUCUCAUAUUUUGGCUAUAAUUUUGAACGGACCAAAAUAUCUCAUUCCCAAUUUCUGAUUCCUCCUUAGUGCUGCGGAUUGUUGACGAUAUGUUUGUAGCUUCACUAACACCAUAUCAUCAAUUUGGAAUUGGAUGUCUCUUCUCUUUUUGUCAGCCUCUUGUUUCAUAUAAUGAUGUGCUUUUGCUAAAUUCUCUUUCAGCUGUUGGAGAAUUUUAUCCCUAUCCAUUAGUAAUUCUUGUGUUGUAGGUGGGUCUUGUGAGUGAGGGACAUAUCUAACUAGGGUCGGGGGAUCCCUUCCAUAUAAAGCUUUAAAUGGUGUCAUCCCUAUACUUGUCUGAAAAGCUGUGUUAUACCAAUAUUCAGCCCAAGCUAAUGCCUUAAACCAUGCUCUUGGAUUAGUGUAAGUGAAGCAACGUAAGAACAUCUCCACACAUUUAUUCAAUACUUCGGAUUGCCCAUCUGUUUAGGGAUGGUAUGCUGAACUCAUUGCUAAAGUAGUGCCUUUGUAACUGAAAUAAAUGCUUCCAGAAAUUACUCGUGAAUACCUUGUCUCUAUCUGAUACAAUGGAGAUAGGAAGACCAUGCAACCUGACAAUUUGGUUCAUGAACACUUCAGCUACACCUCUACUCGUGUAAUCACCUUUAAGGCCUAUAAAGUGUGCAAAUUUUGAUAAUUUGUCUAUCACCACCAGUAUUACAGUGAAUCCAUGCGAAUUGGCUACAUCUUCCCAAAACUGAGUUGGGAUUGGUAAUGGUUGGAGGAAACCAUCAGGCAGAGUGUGUGUUGUUUUGGCUUGUUGACAAAUGGAAUAAUUCCUUACGAAUUCUUGAAUGUCCUUGUUCAUAUUGUGCCAAUAAAACUAAGACCCAUUCCUGGCUUUGGUUCUAGUCAGGCCUGAGUGGCCUCCAAUUGGGGAAUUGUAGUACUCAUAUAGAAUUAGCUGUUAGGCACUACUAAUUUUCCUUUCCAAAAUAAUAGGCCACCUCUUGUAGAAUAAUUAGGUGUAGCAGUGGGUUGGGACAAGCAGGAUGUUAUUAUCUCCUGCAACUUAGCAUCUGUUAUUGUGGUCUGCUUAAGGUUUGAUACAAAAUCAUUGUGAGGUUCUGACUAUGCUAACAAAAACACCCUCGAUAAUGCAUAUGCGGCCAAAUUCUCCUUGCCUGACUUAUACUCAAUUGUAAAGUCAUAUCCCAAGAAUUUGUGUAACCAUUAUUGUUGGUCAGGUGUUUGAAGAGUUUGAUCCAUCAAACUUUUCAAACUCUUUUGAUCUGUUCUGAUUAGAAAUUUUUGUCCCAGCAAAUAAUGCCUGAACUUGGCAAUUGCUUCUGAAAUUGCAAACAUUUCUCUGAAAUAUGCAUACUUCUUUUGGUUUCUAGGUACUUACGUUUUGGAAAAGUAUGCAAUUGGGUGUCCAUUCUGAUGCAACACUAUCCCUACUCCACUUCCAAAAGCGUCUAUUUCUAAGAUGAAUGGAUGUGUGAAGUUGGGUAAUGCUAACACUAGAGCUGAAGUCAUGGCUUCUUUUAAAUUCGCAAAAGCCAUUGCAACAUCUUUAUUCCAACCAAAUGAGUCAUUUCUUAGCAUAUCUGUCAAAGGAGCAGCAAUGUUAGCAUAUGUUUUGAUGAAUCUUCUAUAGUAUCCUAUCAAGCCUAAGAAUCCUCUUAGUUGUUUGAGAUUCUUAGGUGUAGGCCAUUGUAACAUUGCUUGGAUUUUAUUGGCAUCCAUUGUUACCCCCUAUCCUGAGACUAUAUGGCCUAAAUAUUCUAUUUGCUCCACACCAAAAGAGCAUUUAGAAAGCUUAGCAAAUAAUACUUGUUGUUGUAGAGUUUUUAGGACAUUUUCCAAAUGCACUAAAUGUUCAUACCAUGCAGUGCUAUAUACCAAUAUAUCAUCGAAGAAUACCAAGACAUAUUUUCUUAAAGCAUGCAGAAAUAUGUGAUUCAUCAAGCUUUGAAAUGUGGCUGGGGCAUUAGUAAGCCCAAAUGGCAUUACUAACCACUCAUAAUGUCCAUGGUGUGUUCGAAAAGCAGAUUUGUAUCUAUCAUCUAGUUUAGCAAAAUUUGGUGAUAGCCUGAUCUUAGGUCUAUUUUUGAAAAGGAUUUAGCACCAAAUAAUUCAUCUAGAAGUUCAUCCACAGUAGGAAUGGGGAAGCUAUCUCAAAUUGUCACUGCAUUUAGAGCUCUGUAAUCCGUGCAGAAUCUCCAACUCCCAUCCUUUUCUUACAAGUAUAAUUGGAGAAGAGAAAGGACUCAUGCUAGUUGUAAUGAUGCCUUGGUUCAACAUUUCUUGAACCAUUUUCUCUAUUUGUUCUUUUUGACUAUGAGGAUAUCUAUAUGGACGAACUUUGAUUGGUGCUACUCCUUCUUUUAAGUGUAUAGCAUGUGUAUGUUCCCUUGGAGGGGGUAAUCCUGUUGGGCAAUCAAAAACUGCUUUGUAGUUGUGCAACAGUAAAGCAAGCUCAGGAUCAAUAUCACUAGGUAAUUCCUUAAGAAUAUCUGCUGGUACUUUGGGUUUCACCAUUUGAAUGGUAAACAAUUCAAUAAUUGCAUCACUAUGUUGCAUUCUCCUUAUUUGGUUUAAUUGGGCUUGUGCUGGUCUCAUUUGUUUCUCUCCCCGCAAUGUCACAAAUGUGCCUUGUUGAAAAAAUUUCAGGCUCAGGGCUGUAUAAUCUGCAACAUGAGCCCCAAGGGUUGCAAGCCAUGAAGUUCCCAAUAUCAAAUCUGCACCUACAAUUGGAAGGAGGUAAACUAGCACCACUAAGUCAUGUCCUUGCACCUUAAUUGGUAACUCUUGGAUUAAUCCUUCUAGUGUCAUUGAUUGUCCAUUCCCCACUAAUACUUUAAAACAAGGAGCUGGUUCAAUUGGAAAUUUAAGGCAUUGAGCUACCCUUGGUUGUAGAAAUUUAUCUGAACUCCUUCCAUCAACUAAUAUUUGUACUUUGAUACUGCCAAUUUGUCCUUGGAAUCUUAAUGUGCCCAUUCUAUUUGUCCUUGGAAUCUUAAUGUGCCCAUUCCAUUUGUCCCUGGAAUCUUAAUGUGCCCAUUCCAUUUGUCCCUUUCAUAGCAUUAAGAGACAAAUGAUGUUCCUCUUCUCUUGUACCUUGUUCCAUAUGAGCCCAUUCAUUGGAUUCCUUGACAUUUUCAGUUGGUUCUUGCUCUUCAUCAUCAUAUUGCAAAAUCAUCAAUUGUUUGUUAGGACACCUAUGAUUGAAUGAAAAAUUUUCAUCACACCAAUAGCAUAAGCCUUUUUCCCUUCUCAAUUGUAGUUCAGCAGGUGAUAUUCUUUUAAUGUUAGUAUUUUUUUGUAGAAGAUUCAUUGGUCUAGUUGGUGGUGUAUUGAGUAUGGGUGGGUUAUAUUUUUGUGGAAAUUCUGUUUUGGUUGGGAAUCUGCUCUACAUUGAGCCUGUAGAAAACUGGUUUUGGAUUUUGUGAGGUCUAGAAUGUAGGCAAUCGUUUUCUUCAUAUACUUUGGCUAAUGAUACGGCUUUGACAAUUGAGAUUGGAGUAUGAAUCAUUACUUCUCUUCAUAUCUCUGCUUUCAAUCCACUGAUAAAACAGUCUAUCAAUGCAUCAUUGCUGAUUCCAUAGACUCUAUUAGCUAAUAAAGUAAAUUGCAUAUAAUACUCAGUAGCUGUACCUGUUUGGGUUAAUUUGAACAAUGUUGCUCUAGGACAUUCAUAAAUUGAAGGGCCAAAAUCCAAUUCCAAUGCUCUUGUAAAUUCUAACCAUGAAUAGAAAGGAUUUGUUCACGGCAUCAUUUGAAACCAAGGUACCACUUCUUGAUCCAAGUGAACCGAAGUGAUGGUUAAUCUAUCAUUAUCAGGUGUAGCAUAAUACCCAAAAAUUGUUCUGCCUUAAAAAUUUAAUCAUGGACGUUCUUCCCAUCAAAACGUGGAAAUUCAAGUUUGAUGUUUCUAACUUGAAAAGGUGUUCUGUUUGAGUUACCUGCACCAUGGAAGCUUUGAUGUUGUUGUUUUGCCUCACUAAUUUGCUGGAUAGUGAGAUAUGUCCCCUUUUGCCAAGCCUCGGUUCUUUCGAAUUUGGAAUCGGUUGUAGACUCCAGGUGUUCCAAUUGAGUUUGUAAAUCUUCAUGAAUUGCUUUAAUGGUAUUUGUAUUUCGUUUGAUCUCACUGCUCAUUUCUUUCAUCCUAGUGUUUUCUACCAUAGUGAGAUGAAAGCACCAAUGUAAUGUUAUGAGUUUUGCUGGAUAAGAACGUGUAUUAUUGAAUAGAAAAGCAGAGCUUACGUCUGCAUGAGUUACAUAAAGAGAAAGCCAGUACAAUGGAAAUCAGGAAAUUAUAGAGAAUGAGGGAAGAAAAAAGAGAGACUAUCACAUUUCAUACCCUUCUCAUUCACUCCAUUCCUCCCUAAAUGCUCAUCUAAUCAUACGUAAUCCUUGAGGAGGGCGUUAGGGACACACACCCUCUCUCCAUGCCUUGUUCCCUCCUUUUCAGCACUGCUAAUAAACUCUAUUUUCUUGCCUAACUAUUUCAUGUGGUGCCCUACUACUGACUCACACUCUUCUAGAAGUUGUGGCCCUUUCUUCAUUACACAUUGAUUCAUAUUAUAGAUAUUCAACAAAGUUUUACAUUUAUUGUCGAAUAUGGAAACUUGAUACAAAAUGGAAACUUUGAUACAAAAUAUUAAAUUCCCACAUUUAUUUUUAAACAACACAGAAGCAGGAAAAAAACACAAAAUUCAUUCUAAAAUCCCCAAAUUUCGGCACGUUACUAAUUUGAUUUUAAAAAUUGAAAGAAUAGCGAAGCAAAAAGGGAAAAGAAUGAAGAAGACUUUGAAGCAAAGACCGAAGGUGAUUGAAAUCGGAGUGGAUGGUUGAAGAGAGUGAAACGGUGCGUUGCAGAGUGUGAGUUAGGUUAUUGAAGUCACGUUUGUUUUGCAAUACCUUAACCACGUCGUAUUGGAGGAAAGUGGGUAAUGGAGAUCUUAAGUUUCUUAAGAAUUUCAAUACUUUUAAAUUUAGUUUUCUUGGGAGGAAACGUUUCUCCCAUAUUUCAUAAUCAUUGCUAUUAGUGUUCUCUCAAUGGGUUUCCUAAUACAAAUAUAAAAUAACUACAUUCAUAUUAGAAUCUCUAGUUGGUCGUCAUGCAUCUCUUAAGUAAUUUCUUAUUUUACAUAUUUUUUGGAUCCUAAAAAAUUUCAUUCUCAUAGGACAUAUUUAUUAUUGCAUUUAUUAGUUAUUAUUACACUCUACUUAUUAAUUUGUUAAAUAUAUUAUUCGUUAUAAUGGUCAUUAUAUUAUCAUAUUACAGUAUUAAAAUCAAUCUACUUGUGUUCUUAUGAUUUGCUUUAAAUUCUAAGUUAGUUUUAUUUUGAUGUACAAAUUUUAUUUAAUUUUCUUAUAGAUAAGGGCUCUCAUCUUUGCCUCACAUAAGGCUAGGGAUGGCAAUGGGCAUGAGCGAGCAUGGGUAGUAGCUACCCGCUACCCGUUUUAAAAUAGAAGAGUAAUACUCAUAUCCGCCCAUACCCGUAUGGGUACCCGUGUGCAGAUAUUCGCGGGUAUUUUUGGGUACCUGUGGGUACAAUGGGUACUCGCGGGUUUCCUCUAUUAUAAAUAAAUUUUUACUUCUCUUGUGUUUCAAAUAAGAUGAAACUUAAUUAUUUUUGUACAUUUUGAUUGAAUAUUUGGCAAAAAUGCUAAAUUUAUUGGUGUUUACUAUUUGUGUGAUUUUUUGUUCUCAUUUCUUUAAGAAAAAGUAUAUAUUUUCUUUAAAACAUGUGUAUUUCUACCCAUGUAAUAAUAUUUGUAGGGUGUUUCACCAUCAAACUCAAUAAAAUAUGUAAACAAAGUAAAGGGAUAAAAUAUACAUAGUGUAAUAAAUGUUAGAAUAAUGUAUUUUUGAUUUUAAUUAAAUAUAAUAUAUUAAUCAUAUAAAUAAUGGGUACCCGCGGAUACGGGUACCAUAAUACACGUACCCACCCGUAUGUACUACGGGUAUUUUUAAAAACUCAUUUAUAAUCUCCGUGGGUACCCGUUUGUGACUCGUACCUGUGCCCGUACAGGUUUUAUCCGCGGGUACCCACAGGUACGGAUAUUUUUGCCAUCCCUACACAAGGCCUAGAAAAUCUUAGGACAGACAUUUAAUUAGAAUGUUAAAGUCGAAUAACACAACGAUAGUUUAAUUGUAUAUGGUCAAAGGUUCAUUGAUUCUUAGAAACAAUGUUCUCAAGAGGAAAAGAUAUAUGCACUAAUAAUUUGUAAGAGUUUUUAAAUUGUCUGUGUAUCAUCCAUCAUUCAUAGUUAAUUAUCAUUAACUCUUCAAAAAAUGUAAUACAAAAGAAUGAUAGAUGAUAUACUGAAUGUAUAUAAAUCUUUAUACUGACAAUACGUAGAUAUUACAUUCAAAAUAAAUUACUUUCACCUGUUUGGUUUGAUCGCAUCCAAUAAAAUGGGAGGCUUCUACUAUCUUAAUAAGAAUACAAUGGACUUAUAGUAUCACUGUAAAAGACAUGUUCAAAGCGUGAGGGGGUAUAAUUGUAAUACCAAAUUAAAAUUAAUUACAAAAAAACAAAAAUUUUAUAUUGACUGUAUUUUCUGAAAUGUUACAUUACUUUUUUUAUUGUCUUCAACAUUCAUGAGUCAAUUAUGUCAUUGCACAUUGCUGUUAAAUAAUUUUAUGUUAUUACUUUGAUAUUUAAUUACUAAAUUGAGUUUGAUUUUUUUGCUUUACAAUGCCCAGAUAUUGGGGAUAAUAGUGUCAUUGAUCAUUGUCCACUAUUUGGGCUUUCUAAUUUUUCUAAUUUUUUUUUUUGCAAUUACGAAACUUGACGUAUUGUAUAUACUAUGAUCGACUUGAAUAUGGUGUUAUAAGUUAUAAUUGUAUUUUCGACACCCACAUUAGUUUCACAUCUCUCACGUGUAUUCCACUUUCUCUAUCUGAUUUGUUGAUCUUGUUACCUCAUACCACACUUUUCUAUACCCCUUCAUUUCUUCUUCUUCCAUACACUUCUGCAUUACUACUUCACUCCAACUCUGUCCUUUAGAUAUAUUCAUCAAUUUAAGGUAGCAUUAUUUAUUUAGUGCUCGUGAAAACACGAAGGUCAUGAUCCCCAAAUUGAGGUCCCUACUAAUCUGAAAUCAGUCAUUCACUACUUACUUUGGGUGUCAAAGUAUACAUUUCUUUUAAUUUUCUUUGUUAAAAAUCAGCCUUCUUACUUGUUUUGGGUUUCUAAUGGAAUAUUUUUGUAACUUUUUCAAAAAAGUGGCCCAUUUCAUAUCAUAGGAGGUUUUCUAUCCCCAAAAUUUCUCAUUUUUUCAUGUUGCCAAAAGUCAUCCAUGGGAACUACGGGUUCAUUGACCUUUUGUUGUUUAAAAUGACAUUGAGGUCUCUCCCAAUCUGAAAAUGAGCCGUUCAUUACUUACUUAGAGAGUCAAAGUAUACUUUUUUAAAUUUCUUUGUUAAAAAUCUGGUCUUUCUUACUUUUUCUGAGUUUCCAAUGGAAUAUUUAUGUAAUUGUUUUUUUCUUUGUUAUCCUUACUGAUUCUAUUUUUUGCUGAUUGUUACUACCUUAUAUCUUUCUACUGAGUGGUAAUUAAUUUAUGGUAUAACCACUUUGGAUAUUGGGUGCAUAUUUUUUUUUACUGAUUAGGUCCAGUUGUUGAAUGUUAAUCUUACAUUGGGUCUAAAAUUUGUAAGGUUAACUCUCUACAUGUCCAUCAUUGCUUAGUGUUCAUUUUUUCACAUAAUAAUUUUAAUCCAAGUAAAUAUCACAAUUCAUACCUCAAUUUUAUUUUCUAUUCCAUGUAGUCUAUGUCUAAUAGACAUUGUCACAACUUGAAAUUUAUAUAACUCUCUACAUUUGCUUCCAUUAUUGGUGGUUGUCCAUUGCAUUGUUGGCAUAUAUUAAUGUUUUUACAUUCUAAUUAAAGGAAUCCAUCAUGAAGUUAAAUGGAGAAUAUGUAUUAUUGAAGACUACAAUGAUUUUGUGUGUUUAUUUCCAAGGCAGGCACCAUUCUUAUAUAACAGAUGGUGUUGCUUGGAAAAGAAGAAAACUGAAUUGAAACUAAUUUAACAACUUCUUAACAAACUUAUUGAUGUAUAUUCAACAUGUGCUUAAAGGCAAGAUGCUCCACUACUAAAGCCAAUCCAUAAAGCAGCCUAUGUACAAUCCAUGAAGCCUUUAUUAUGACCUGCAUAAUCUGCAAUAAAUCAGAAAACCAGAAACAAAAGAAAGCCUCAUGAACUAAGGCAUGGGCCAGGAUUAUUAGAUGAUGUAUACAAUAAGAAAUUGCAUACAACGAGCAAUAUGUGUAAUACCCCCUUCAAGAUGGAGAGUGUAUAUUAAUCACUCCCAGCUUGCUUAACAUUUGAUUGAAAAGAAUAGGUUCUAAUGGUUUAGUUAGCACAUCUGCUAUUUGAGCAGAGGUUGAGAUAGGUAAUAGAUGAAGAAGCUUGUUAUGCAAUCUUUCUCGAAUAACAGGGCAGUCAAUCUCAACAUGUUUGGUACGUUCAUGAAAAACAACAUUAGCAGCAAUGUGUCUUGCCGAAUUAUUAUCACAAUAAAGUAAAGCAGGUUGUUUAUAAAGGAAUUGGAAAUCAGUGAGAAGAUAUGUAAGUCACUGAAUUUCACAAGAGGCUAUGGCAAGAGCACGAUACUCUGCCUCUGAGGAUGAUCUAGAAACAGUGUUUUGAUUCUUGGAUUUCCAUGAAAUAAGAGAGUCUCCUAGAAACAUAGAAUAGCCUGAAAUAGAUUUCCUAGUGUCGGGGUAAGUGGCCCAAUCUGAGUCAGAGAAACCUUUGAUUUCGAUGAUGGAUGUGGUAGGAUAGAGAAAGCCUUGUCCAGGUGCUCCUUUUAUGUAUCUAAGAACACGAGUCAUGGCUUUGUGAUGCAUGACAAUAGGAUUAGCCAUGAAUUGGGUGAGUUGUUGCACUGCGAAGGUGAUAUCAGGACGGGUAUUAGUUAAAUAGAGUAAUCUUCCUACAAGUUGCCUAUAGGAGACAAGGUCAUGGUAAGGUUCACUGUCAUGUUGGUGUAUGUGAAUGGUUAACCAUUAGUGUGGGGACAGGCUUGGAGGUGAGGAAGCCAGUAUCGUGAAGUAAGUCUAAGGUGUAUUUUCUUUGGCAUAAUGUAAUGCCAAGCUUGGAACGGGCUACUUCAAGACCAAGAAAGUAUUUCAAGUUCCCUAAGUCUUUGAUUUUGAGUUGAGUGUUAAGGUGGUCUUUGACAUAUUGGAUUUCAUUGAUGUUGUUUCCUACCAGGAUGAGAACAUCAACAUAGAUCAAUAGGGCAGUGAAGUGAUGGUUGUUUGUCUUUGUAAAAAAUGAGUGGUCUUGUUGGGAUUGCUUGUAUCCCAAGGAAAUGAGAGAAAAAGAUAAUUUGGAAAACCAUUGCCUACUAGCUUGUUUCAAACCAUAAAGGGAUUUUUUUAAUUGACAAACCUGAUUUGUUUUAGAACUAUGCACACCAAGGGGUAGGGUCAUGUAUACCACCUCAUCAAGAUCUUCAUGGAGGAAGGCAUUAUUGACAUCAAGUUGAUGCAAUGUCCAACCUUGUAUUGCAGCUAGAGCUAAGAGAAGCCUAAUGGUAGUUAGCUUAAUAACAGGGGCAAAGGUCUCAUUGUAGUCUAAUCCUUCGGUUUGGUUGUUUCCCUUUGCAACAAGGCGUGCCUUGUGUCUUUCAAUACUGCCAUCUACGUUAUAUUUGAUUUUAUAAACCCAUUUACAUCCUAUGACUCUUUUGUUGGGUGGAAGAGUAGUGAGGGUCCAAGUGUCAUUGAGGUGUAAGGCAUCCAAUUCAUUGUUCAUGGCUUUGAUCCAAUUAGCAGACUUUAUAGCUUGAUUGUAUGUUUUAGGCUCGGUAUGAGAGGUGAUGGAUAAGGUGUAAUGUAGCUGGUGAUUGGAUAAAGUGUUAUAAGACAAAAUAUGAUCAAGGGGGUGUUUAAUGUUCUUAUGUUUGGUUGUGGAUGUAGAGCUCAGGUAGUUGCAAUGGUAGUCUUGGAGGUACCCAGGUGGAUGAGAUGGUCUAAGGGAUCUUCUAGUGUGUAUCUCAACAUCAUUAUGGAUAGGUGAGGAUGGUGGAACAGGUAUUUGGUUGGAGAGAUCAAUGGUAUUGUGAGGCAAACUUGUAUGAGUAAUAGAGGUAUCAUCAUGUAGCGGAAGGUUAUGUGAUGGUGUGGUAGGCAAAGGGAGGAUACCAUCAGUGGUAGUAGAAUUAGGAUUAUGGGAAGGUUGGGUGACUUGGUAAGGGAAAACAUGCUCAUAGAAGGUGACAUUUCGAGAUAGGAAAAGGUUCCUGAUGUGCAAUUUGUAUAAAAGGUAACCUUUAAUGCCAGUUACAUGACCAAGGAGGAGACAUUUAGUAGCUCUAGGAUCAAGUUUGGUCCUAUUAUGUGUGAGUGUAGAAGCAUAUGCAAGGCAUCUAAACACACGAAGGUAGGUGAGAUCAGGUUGCUUGUGAAAUAAAGUUUCAUAACGGGAUUUAGAGUUGAGCACAAGGGUAGGUAAUCUAUUGAUUAGAUGGACAAAGUGCAGAACAACAUAGCCCCAAAGACCUUGGGCAUAUAGGAUUAGAAAAAGAAAGAACGAGUGGUGUUUAAGAUGUGUCUGUCCUUUCUCUCAACCACAGAGUUUUGUUGUGGUGUCUCAGUACAAGAUUUUUGAUAGAUAACCCCAAGUUGGGCAUAGAAAUCAGGCUAAAUAAAUUCCAAGCCAUUGUCAGAUCUAAUAGCCUUAAUCUUCUUGUUAUGUUGGGUGUUAGCUAGUUGGAAAAAGGUGCUAAUUAGUUUCCUUGUCUCAGACUUGUUGGUCAUAAGGUAGACCCGAGUAUACCUACUGAAGUCAUCCACAAUGGUAAAGAAUUACUUAUGGCCAUGGAUAGUAGGUGUGCUAAGGGGACCCCAAAUGUCCAUGUGUAUAAGGUCAUAUGGUUCAAUGCUGAAAGAAGAGCUCUUUGUGUAUGGUAAUCUUGACUGUUUAGCAGUAUGGCAAGUAUCACAAACAAUCUUAGAAUCAUAGUUUACAAAUGGAAAUUGUUUAUUUAUACUUUGUAAAACAAAUAGAGAGGGGUGGCCUAAUCUAUGAUGUCAAACAUCGAAAACAAGAUCAUUGUUUUUGUUUAUGGAUCCAAUUACAUGUAAAGAUUUGUCAACAAUUCUAUGAUCUCUACUAAGAAUGUAUAGACUGUUAUAUGCUUCAACAUAGCCAAUCAUCUUCAAGGAAGUCGUAUCCUGAAUCAAACAAAAUUCCUUAUCAAAGAUAAGCUUACAUUUUAAGGAGCAUGCUAGCUUGUUAGUAGAAACUAAGUUGUAUUUGAAACUAGGCAUAUACAACACAUUAUGCAGGAUAAGAGUAUGAGUUAAAUGAAUAGUUCCUGAAUGUUUUGCUAUCAUAGUAACAUUGUUUGGAAAUUUAACAUGUAUGGGCCUAAUGCAACUAACAUUUGUAAAGUUUGAUGCAUCAUUUGUAACGUGAUCAGUGGCACCACUAUCUAAAAUCCAUGCUUUAUUGUUAAGAAUUGUACCUGAUAUUUCAGAGUGUUCUUCAUUGAGGUAAUCUUGGCUCACUUGGUUAAUGUUGUGUUCAAGGCUGCUUAUUUGUAAAGGUUGGUCUGCUUGUGUGUUAGUUGUAUCUCUAUUCUUUGUUUCUUGCCCUUUACCAUGAUCAACAUGAAUAUUAUUAACAGAACCAUUAUCUUGCUUGGCCUUGAACUUGAAAUUGGGAGGAAAGCCAUGUUUGAAGUAGCUUGUCUCUGUAAUGUGUUUCUCUUUUCCACAAAAGUACAUACUUUGUUAUUGCUACCUGAUCUAGAUGCCUUGGCAUAGUUUCUUGUCCAUGCAUUCCCUUAAUAUUUCUUUCUAUUGCUAAAAUCAUUGUUUUCUCCUUUGCCAGAAUUCCUAUUGGGUUGAUUCCUCCAAGGUUAGGUAGAGUUUAUGGAAUUUACCACUUUCUUGUUGUCAUAUUCUAGUCCCUCAUAUUGUCUUUCUUGCUGCAAGACAAGUGAGAAGACCUUGUUCAUUGAUGGCAAUGGUUUCAUAAGGAGGAUUUGGGCCUUUAUUGUGUCAAAUUGUUCUCCAAGACCCUUGAGAUGUAGUUCCUCAUGAUCCUAGGCAUAUUGCAGCUACACCUCACAGGACAGGUACAUACAGGUAAGGGUCUCAAAGACUCCAAUUCAUCCCAUACUGUCUUCAUAUCUGUGUGGAAAGCAGAAAUGUCUCUAUCACCUUGCUUCAUUGAGUGAAUUUAUUGAAGGAGAUAUGAUGUCCUAAAGUGAUCUCCUUUUGAGAAACGUUCCUUGAGAUCUUCCCAUAGUUCUUGUGCACUUUCUAUGUACACAAUACUCUGGGCAAUUUGUUGUGUUAAUGACCUUGUGAUCCAAGAGAUUAUCAUGUUGUUAUAUCUCUCCCAAGAAUCAUACAUUGGAUCUGAUGGAUGUGGAACUUCUACUGCUCCAUUGAUGAACUUGAAUUUGUUCUUCGACUUGAGUGCCCUUCUCGUGGCUCUUGACCAUGAUUCAUAAUUUCUUCCAUCCAGAGGUUGUUGAUACCAAAGUGAAUCCUGGAUUCUCCCCAUGGUGUAGAUAAUAAGGGUUCUGUAUUGCAUCAAUAUUCUGGUAUGCCUGUUGUGUUUGAUCUGAUUCAGCUUCCAUGGCUUUGAUCCAAGUUUUGUGUAAAAAGAUCUGAGAGGAUUUGGAAAGAUUAGGAAAGGGUGUGAAAGAGAUGUAGAGGACGGCCUUAGUAGCAGAGCUCUCACUUGGAGAGCUCUGAUACCAUACAGGAAUCCAUCAUGAAGUUAAAUGGAGAAUAUGUAUUAUUGAAGACUACAAUGAUUUUGUGUGUUUAUUUCCAAGGCAGGCACCAUUCUUAUAUAACAGAUGGUGUUGCUUGGAAAAGAAGAAAACUGAAUUGAAACUAAUUUAACAACUUUUUAACAAACUUAUUGAUGCAUAUUCAACAUGUGCUUAAAGGCAAGAUGCUCCACAACUAAAGCCAAUCCAUAAAGCAACCUAAGUACAAUCCAUGAAGCCUUUAUUAUGACCUGCAUAAUCUACAAUAAACCAGAAAACCAGAAACAAAAGAAAGCCUCAUGAACUAAGCCAUGGGUCACGAUUAUUAGAUGAUGCAUACAAUGAGCAAUUGCAUACAACGAGCAAUAUGUUUAAUACUAAUAUCUAUUAUUUUUUCUGUGUGCUAAAUUGUCCAUUUAGUAAUGGUUGAUUCUUUGCAGUCUAUGUUUAAUAGAUAUCCUCAAUUACUGAUUCUUGAUUUACCAGACAAUAUAUAACUCUAUAUCAUUGCCUUCUCUUAACUAAAUUGUUGAAUGAACAAUUUUUAAAUGGUUUUUAGUUGUUGCUACAGUAUCAUAUUUACUAUGACAUGCUAUUACUAAAUUAGGUUUGGGCAUUAGGCUGUACAAUUCUUACAUAUUGGGCAUAUUAGCGCUAUUGAACACUGUCCAUUGUUUGAUCUAUAUAUUUUUUUGCAAAUGAGUUUCUAUACUAAACUAGUCAUAUUGUAUACACUAUGAUCGAUUUCAAUUUAGGGUUAUAAAUAUCUUUUCUCUACCCAUUUUACCUAUAUGUUUCUCACGUGUAUUCCACUUUCUCUAUCUCAUGUGUUGAAAGUUGUACUUUAUUUCCCACUUUCUAUAUAAUUUUAAUAACUAUUUGAUUAUUACACUCUUGAAUAUCCUCAUGAUGGAUAAAGUUGAAUCUUAUGUUGAGAGUGAUAUUUUCAAUAAUAACAAGGUCUGUGUAAUAUAUGAUAGCCUACUUAUUAGCUCACCUCCGGGAAAAAUGGCGUUAAUAUUUUUUUAUCUUACUACAAUACCCUUCUUUCAUUAACUUAUGGUUAUAUAUGUUUGAGUAAAUUACACUAACUCACUCUGAUUUUUAGUGAAAUUACACAAAUCACCCAUCAACUUUUUAUACCUACAAAAAACCAUAUGAUAUUUAUACAUACAUUACGCUGAUCACCCCUACAUGAUAAAUAAGUGUGAUUUUUUAAACAAAAAAAGACGAUAAGUAUAAUUAAGUUAAAUAAAAUAUGAUAUAUUAUGGAGACAAGUCCAAAUAGUAUAUGAGCCAAUAGUACAAUAUGCAUCAAUAAUUCUAAGGAUAUAUUGUUUAAAUCACUCUUAUAUUAUAUUGUAACGAACAAAAGAUAAUGAAAAUAUAUUGACUCGUAUACUAUUUGUAUUUGUUUCCACAAUAUAUUGUAUUUCGUUUAACUUAAUUACACUUAUCAUCCUUUUUGUUUAAAAAAUCAUACUUAUUUUUCAUAGAGGGGGUAGUUAGUGUAAUAUAUGCAUAAAAAUUAGGGGGGGGGGAGAUUAUAGGUGUAAAAAUGGAGGGGUGGUUUGUGUAAUUUCACUAAAACUCAGGGUGUGUCAGUGUAAUUUACUCUAUAUGUUUUACUAAAAUAUUGCAUUUUUUAUAUCUUAAACUUUUUUUCAUGGUGGCUUAAUGUUUUCAUAAAUUAUUCUUUGUUGUGUUAAUGUCAAUAUCACACCCAUUCGAGAUGAUAAAUGAUUUGAAUGAUUCAAAACACAUGUGAAAGAUUGUUGUUAGAAUUAUAGAAAAUUGGUGUAUGCAACUUCCACCCAAACCUGGAUAUCUGGAAAUAAUAUUGAUGGACUGUAUAGUAAUAACAUAUCCUAUAACAUUUUAAUAUGUUUGAUAAAUUACUAAAGUUCAAUUGUUUUAAUUAAUUUAAGGAGGCAAGAUCCAAGUCUCUCUUAAAAAUGAAGAGUUAAAUCUAUGGACAGAACUGAAAAUAACACAUAUGUCAUGCACAAUUUCAAUGUGAUGCACAAUGAUCUCCAAAUUAUGGCAAGAAAUCAUACCUACAAAAUGCAUUUUACUACUUAUGGUACAAGUCUAAAAGAUAUAUGAUUUCUCAAUAUCACUAUUUGAAUAUGAUUUUAAAAAGUUUGGUGAGAUACUUGUUGGAAACUUUCGAAGUGAUUUUUUAGUAGGUUAGUUUUUUCUUAAAAUGAUAUAUAUUUUCAUUUUAUUCAUUUUAUUAAAUUUCUACUAUAUCAAAAAUUUAUUUUUAUUAUCUUAAUAGAGAUUAUUGGAGUUAUUUGUUGGGUCCCAUAAGACUCUAUCACUCACCUAGAGGGGGUGAAUAAGUGAUAUGGUACACGAUUACCGUUGCUUGAUAAACAAACAACAAACACAAAAUUAUACAUUGUUUAAUUGAUUAAACACAACUAUAAUCGAUUAACUCAUUUUGAUGUUAAUCGAUUAACUAAACACCUUAAUCAAUUAUUUAGUUCUUGUUCAAUGAAAACAGUUUUUUCUGAUCUCCAAGAUUACCAAAAUUCAACUAAACUUAUAUGCACUUAUUAUAGAAGAUUAAGCACAAUAAAUGCACAAUACAAAAUAUCCAAUUAAUACAAAAUUAUAUGCAUGUCAAGUUAAGUAAAUCAAGUAAUGUGGAAAUGUAAAAGAUAAGGAAAAAGAAGAAUGAGACACGGCUUUUAUCCUGGUUCGUUUGCAGGUCCACUUGCAAACUACAUUCAGGCAUCCGCUUAUGAUAUUGGGAGUUUUUCCUUCAUUAUGGAAUCUUUAAUGUACUUUUACAAACAAGCUUCCAAUACAAGAUGCAAGACGCUACUUUCUUGAUCUCUAUGAACUUGACAACCUCGGUUUGACCUCUCUCUCGUCUACUAAGAUCUCCUAUCUUUUCACGAUUAAGCCUCAGUCAGGUAUCACUCAAUACCAAGACCUCUUGCUUUUCGUGAGGACACAUCUAACAACAACUAGGAAUUUUCCCAAACCUAUUCUCUAUCAAUAGCAAUAACAAUCACACCAAGAGAAUAUAUUGUUGCCUUGUCUAACAAUUCUUUCAAGUUAUGUGUACACAUCAAUAUGUAGAUUUAACCACUCUUCUUAGAAUCUAAGAACCCUUCUAAAAGAUCUCAUAAUUAUAGAACAGAACGUGAGAUGUAAGGUUUCUUUAACAAAAGAUUCGACAAUUAAGCUCAAUGGGUAUCUUAUAAAGAUUCACCCUUUUCUUUUUCUCAAAAUAAUACUUUGAAAAUCUCUCUAAAGAUAUGAAAUUUAGAGCUUAAGAUUUUCUGAACAAAAUGUGUAAUCUGUUUAUUUCGAAUAUGUGUUCUAACUCUAUGAAUCAAUGUUCACCUCAAUAAUGAAGCAAUAUGAAAAACUUGGGUUAAUAUACCACUAUAUUUUAAGCUGAAAUUAAUCGAUUAUACCUUAAACUUAAUCGAUUAACGAGUUCUUGAAAACACCAUACAAAAACAAUAGUAACAACCCUUAAUUGAUUAAACCCUAACUUAAUCGAUUAAUGAGUUCCCAAUAAAUUAAUAUUUAACCGAUUAAAAUAUUUCCUAAUCAAUUAAUAUUUUUCUAACAAAAUAUUUCAAUGAUGAAUGAACCUCAUGUAUGAUUUAUAAAAGUAUGAUGCAUGCCUUUGAAAGACGUAUGAUUUAAAAACUCUUUUUAAAUGCAUUCAAAAACAUAUGAUCAUGUAUGCAUGCAUGUGCAUGGAAAUCAUGUAUGUAUGCAUGUAAGUCUCAUUUUCAUUAUGAUUGAUUUUAGCUUGUGAGACUUUCAUUGAGGUUAAUCCUAGCCUAGACUCUUUCUAAGCAAACAUCUUAAGACCAAAUAGAGAUAUAAAAUACUUAGACUCUAGAUCUUCUUUUGAAUGUUUUGCCAUGUAUGAACUUGAAUCUUGACUUUAUUUGAUACUUGUUGAAAGUUGAUUUGCUCAUCCCUUCAAGCUUGUCCUUGAUCAUUAAUCAUGUUGUUGAUCUUUGUCUAUAUUAAACUUUGUCUUCUUUUGUCUUCAUCAACCUUUUGUCUUCAUCAAAAUAUAUGUGAUGCAUGCUUGCAUACACACUCUUGUUCAUUCAUGCAUGCUUGCAUCUUCAUUAUCCCCUUUUGAUGAUGACAAACACUUGUUGACACUUGUUCACAACUUGUUGGAUCUGACAAUUCUUUGUGGGAUCUGCUUGAUGACAAUCAACUAUAUUUUGCGAUGUUCUUGUAAUUUGAUUGAUAAGUGCAAAAAAUAUACACUUUUCACCAUCAUUUUAUGGCACUUAUCCUAUGCAAAUUGUAGAAAACCAACUUAAAUUAACACUUUUUAGGUGAAUUUUGCAUGAUUAAAUAAAUUAGUUCUUUAUUAGUUCUUGUCCAAGUUUUCUUUGAGUUUUGUUGGAAAUUGAAUGUUAAAUAAUAAAUUCAAAUAUGGACAAGAGUUCAAGCCAAAAUUCAAGACAAAAGCUCAAAAUGAAUUGCUAAAAGUAAUCAAGUNNNNNNNNNNNNNNNNNNNNNNNNNNNNNNNNNNNNNNNNNNNNNNNNNNNNNNNNNNNNNNNNNNNNNNNNNNNNNNNNNNNNNNNNNNNNNNNNNNNNAUUUUGCAUGAUUGAAUAAAUUAGUUCUUUAUUAAUUCUUGUCCAAGUUUUCUUUGAGUUUUGUAGGAAAUUGAAUAUUAAAGUAUAAAUUCAAAGAUGGACAAGAAUUCAAGCCAAAAUUUAAGACAAGAGCUCAAAAUGAAUUGCUAAAAGUAAUCAAGAUUAAAGCAUGGCAUGCUAUGUGCUUAAUUUGGUUACUUAGCCUUGAAGAAAGGUAGCUUACUUCGUCUUGAAGAAACCUAAGUUAAGGUAGGCCAAGCAACUUGCAAAAAUCAAAUACUUACCUUAACUUAAAGAAAACAGCCCAAAAGUGCCAAGCGACCAACAAAAAUCAAGUAACAAAACAAAGGAAAAAAGGUUGCUUCACCAUGAAGAAAUCAAGCACAAAGCUGUCCAGCCAAACCAAGCCCCACUGAGCUGACCUGGACACCACCCUGACUUGGACACCAGCUUGACCUGGACCAAGCUGCUGAGCAGACCUGCUUGGCCGCUCAGCCUAGGACCAGCCUAGUCCUAGCACGGUCAGACCUCAUCGAAGAACCAACCAAGCAACUUAGCGGAGAACCAAACUCCUGAACAGAUCAGCAAGCACCAAGCCACGUCCUAGUCAGCACGGUCAAAGCUGUUGAACAAGCAGCUUAGCGGUGAAACAUGUGUGUGGAGCGGUGCGCACCCAGACUUGACUUAACCAUCAAGCAAACCAUGAAGUCACCCAUGACCUCACCUCAAGUAGCCCACCAUAGGUCACCUCAAGUAGCCCACCAUAGGCUUUUCAGAAGUAUCUCACAAUAGUUGGUUUCAUAGCUCACAACUAGCUUUGAUGAGUCAAGCAUAAGGAGGUGACUAAGCUACUUGAUCAAGGGACCAAACCCAUGCUGAAGGGUUUGGUCAGUUGCUUAGCGGUCCAGCCAAGUAGCUCAGAGGUCCAUAAAGAAAGUUUAUAAAUAGAGACCAAUUGAUUCAAGCAAAAAAAAGCAUUUACACUUGAAAUUAACAAGUCUCUCACUAGAAACUCUUUCUGAAGUUCUCUCUUCAUUUCUUAGUUUUUAGAGCUUUAUUUCAAAGUAAGUUUGUAAUUUUAGUUUAGAAUUCAAGAGGAGAAAAGGAGAAGGCAAAUGAGAUGCAAAAAUCAAUUUUGUACUCUCAUUUGGAACNNNNNNNNNNNNNNNNNNNNNNNNNNNNNNNNNNNNNNNNNNNNNNNNNNNNNNNNNNNNNNNNNNNNNNNNNNNNNNNNNNNNNNNNNNNNNNNNNNNNGAAAAUACCUUUUAAUAUACAAAAGUGAUGAAACUAACUUACUAACUUUUAUUUAUUGUUAUUUACUUUCCGCAAUUUAUUUAUUCUUUAAUACAAACCUUCAUUAAGGAAGAAGUUUGGUUUGUUAAUAAAAUGAACCCGGAAGGGAGUAAAUAAAUAAAAGGUCACUUAAAUUUAUUAUUCUUUUGUUCUUUAAUUAUUUAUUUGUUUCUAACAACUAACUAUUCAUCACUUUUGUACAUUAGAAUACCAUUAAACCGAUGUUGGAAUUUAUUCCAAAAAACCGAGAUGAUAUUCAAAGGUACUUAAUAAUUAUGUAAUAAGGGGUUGCUUCGAUACCAUUGUACCGGCGUUAGAAUUUAUUCUAACAAAGCCGAGAUGGGUCAAAGAAGGAAUAACUCAUUCACAUGAUUAUUAAGAAGUAAGUUGUAACUGGAAUAUUCUUGAAACCAUUAUACCGGCGUUGGAAUUUAUUUCAACAAAGCCGAGAUGGCGACCAAAGAUUAAAACUGAGUUCUCUUACUUAAUCAAAUAAAAAGAACACCACGAAAAAAGAGAGCAAUAACCCUUUCAACAAAUUGGCACCUCGCUAAGGAACAAUCUAUUGAGAAGGGAAACAACCUCUCGAAAUUAUCUUUCAACAUUGAUGCACAUUUCUCUCUCUUGCUCCCCUUCAAUUUGAGCAUCAGGUGAUUUAUCAUUAUCUUUGUUGAAGCCUCUCAACUUUUCUACUCUUGCAAGUCCUACAAAAUAUAAACAACAACUUUUCUCCCCCUUUUGGCCUGAUCAAAAAGCAAAGUAAUAUAUGAAAGUAUAUUGCCAAACGAAAGGAAAAUCAAUGCAAAUUCUAUUGCUGCUAAUCGAUUAAAAUAGUACUUAAUCGAUUAUGUAUUAUUCAAUUUUACACAAAAUUUCAUUUUAUGAUGGUUAAUCGAUUAUGGCCUGUUGUUAAUUGAUUAAACCUACUAUUAUGACAGAAUACAAUGCAGGCCACAUGCUAUAUGCAGAAAGUUAUUUAAUUUGAUAUCUUUGGUUUCAUACACUUAUUUAUAUCAAUUAUGUAAACGGUAUGAAGACAUUUGUUUAUGAUACCACUUGUUGGUACCAUUUUUUCAUCUAUACCAAUUGUUAUACCACUUGUUUUAUAUCACUUGUUGGUUGAAAUGAUUACAAAAGUGAUAUAAAUGUACAUAAGUCAAUUUGAAAAGCAUAAAACCAAUAUAUUCAUAGCAUGUCAUGUGAUUACAAUUCAAGUCAAAGCAGAAAAACAAAGUAACAAGUUUGGAAAUACAAGGCAAUAACCAAAAACAAACUUAAAGACCACAUACUCCUAAAACAACACCUAACUAGGACACACUAGACAUCCUAAGCUAGCUAGGAGGCGUUUGCGGAAAUCCACCAAAGGUCUUGAGUAAGAAGUGAAAUUGCUCAAAACGAUUAUGAUUCUCUUCAUCUUGUCUACGAAACUCUGUCAUGAGCCUAUCUUCCAUAGAUUGCAUCUUUGAGUCAAUUCGCUCAUUUAGGCAUUGUUCCAUGAAAUCCAGAUGAGCCAAACCAAAUGAAGGUCCUUGAGGCAUAUCAGACACCCCACCAUUUUGGUGCUCCUGAUUCUGCUCACCUCGCUCACCACCUUCUUCUUCCUUAGACAUUUCCAAAUUCACAAUGGUCCUAUAGUCCUCUUGAUACAUUCAUUCACCACCAUAUUUAUAAAUUCUCAUAUUGUGAAUGAGAUUCUCAUGGACCAUGUGCUCUCUGGGAUUUACGACGAUUAUCUCCACACUAAUUGUGUCGAUCCCUAUAUGAUCAAUGACACGGAAGAUAAAGAUCCCACAUGCCAGCAGUCUCGAUGAAGAUGAUGCGAUGCCAUAAAUCACUUUCAGAAUCUCGUCGGGCCAACUUAUCAGAAUUCCUUCCUUAACAACAAAUAUAAGCUUCAGAUCAUUCGCAGUUGGUUGCACAUGAUUUGUGUUGUGCUGAACCAUAAUGUAUGAUAUCAUGUAGUGUAAUAGCCUAUUUUCUAUGGUUAAAGACCCAUCUUUUGUAAGAUCACAUUAGACAAAGUGGCAAGGUCCCCUCAAGCAUGACUUGUACAUCUCUUUAGAGUCAUACGCGCUCCAUUCAUCAUCAUUACAAUCUCCGAGGGAACCACCAUCACAUGCUAAGCCACCAACAUCCAUGAACAACACAUUAUUCAAUAAAAUCUGCUUCCCUUGUACCAUACUCCUAUAUCCACCAUCUUUAUACUGAAUAUUUGCAUAGAAUUCCCAAACUAGAGAGAGGUAAAUACUGCCAUUUAAUUCUAGAAAUUUUAUGACACCUUGUGCCUCCAAUUCAUAAUGGAAUUGAAAUCCCUGCUCCACCAUCCACGCCAUGUUGGCAUAUCGGAUGUAUGUUGGUUUCUGGCUUACGAACCUAGCCAAUCUUUCUGAUUGAAGAAUAGGAGCAUAAUAUGGGUCUAAACCCAGUGAUGGAUUCUACCUAGAUGAAGAAGACCCAUCAACAUUGAGAUUUCUCGCACGUCCAUGAUGACGUAGAGAACGGUUUGAUCCAACUAUAUGUUUUACACUUUUUGGUCUCUCAUUACUCAUUGGUGCAGAAAUAUAGGAUGGAUAAUCGAUUAAGAAGAAAUUCAAAGUUAGGUUUAGAAAUGGUGUAAGCUUAGGUUAUACAAUUUCAACCAAAUUGAUGGGUUAGACGAUUAGAGGAGGAAAGAAUAAGAGAUUGGGUAGCUCUAAUCUAAGUUUGAGGAUGAAUUACAGGACCAAUUUAGGUCAAAAAGAUAGAAUUCACGAGGUUAGGGUUAGAAAGAACAUAACCCAUAACUAUAUUUGAAUCUGUUUUAUGACUGCACUUAAUCGAUUAACCUUUGUGUUAAUCGAUUAACGGGAUUCAAAUUUUAACACAGUUAAUCCAUUAUGUUCCAUCUUAAUCGAUUAAAAUUUUAAAACAUUUUUUUAGCCGAGGUAAUUGAUUAAGGGAACAAAUAAUCGAUUAAGACAUAUAGAAAAAGUCCAGGUAAUCGAUUAAAACACAGAACAAUCAAUUAAACAAGUCACAAAAACAACUUUUGACACAAUUUUGAAUUAGUUUAGAGGUUUGCUAAGACUCUAAGAUAAAGAUCUGUCCUAAACACGUAAUGUACACUUAACACAGAGCCAAAAGAGCAUGAUAGCAUAUUCAAUCAAAAAUGAAUUAUACAAUUAAGAAUACAUGCAUAUAUUGGCGACAAGUGGGCUUAUUUAGGAUUAUGUAGAUGUCUAGCAUGCAUUCAAACACUUAGGCAUAAUAUAUCAGACAAAACAUGUGAUUAGACAUUUUAGUGCAAGACAUGUUACGAUAUUUGGUUACCUCACAUGCUUUACCUCAUCUUUAUCAAGAUGUUAGAAUUUUGCAUAUUGAUGCCUUCUUUGGCCUUUAUUCAAUUCUUGAUUCUUGCCUUUUUCUUGCAUAGCAUAUCAAAUCCUUAAUGAUUAGCCUCAUGAGUACCAACAAAAAUAGUAAGCAUACCUUUCAUCUCCUCUUUUGGAGAUGGCUUAAUCAAGCAUUAAAUUUGCAUAGGCUUUUCCAAGAAUAGUUUUGGUCAAUUGCAUUAAUAUGAGAUUUAACUUGUUGGGCUUCAACAUGAUUAGAAAAUCGUAGAUAGUAUUUCUAUAUUUACUUAUUAAUCAAAACAUGGUUAAACGAUUCUUAUACUUGUUCAAUGAUAUCAUGUUUGCAUUUGAGAGCAUGUAAAUGAGAAACACAAAGCAUUAGGCCUAAAAGUGAUUUAUGGGGGAUUUCCUGAUUCUUGAUUUUAUGGCCUUGCUAGGAUUUCAUUAUAGAAUAUAUUUAUGACAUUUCAAGUAUGUAAUACUUAGAAUUUGGAAAGUAUACCUUAUUUUACCUUUGUAGCACAAUACUUCCUAGCUUCAAUCAUUUGAAUUGACAUUUUGCUCAUAAGUUUCAUGAUCCAUUUUCCUUUGGUGACAAGUCAAAGAAAUUUGAUCUUCUCACCUUCUAUGUGCCUAGAACACUUGCUGCCCCUAUAAAAUUUGAAGUCCAUAUGUCCUUUGCCACACCUACAAAACAUGAUUACUUACAUUUCUUGGGUACCCAACUAAUCUUGGGUCCCUUGUUGUCAGAAGUUUGGGGAUUUUGAUUCUUAGUAAUCCACAUAUAAUUUCCAUUUGGAAUAUCGUGCAUUCUAAUAUUACAUGCAUUCAAGGUGUGACCAUGCAAUCCACACUAAAAGCAAGUAAGGAAUUCAAGAUAUGACAUUUUCAGAACAUCUACUCGUUUCUUGUGAAAUGUGUUAUUUGCAUGCAUAUAUCCGAAACUAGGUUUAAUUCCAACAAUUUUACAUGUAGAAAGAAAGUAAGUUGUUUGAUUUGUGAUUACUAGAUAUAAAAUUAGCAAUUUUAUCCUUUAAGACAUUAUUUUCAUGUUCCAUGUAAGUGCAAUUUUCACAAGUUGAUAUCACAUUUAAUUAGAAGUACAAUUACAUGAGUGUUGAAAGAGUUAUUGUUGCUGGUUAUUGAGGCAAGUUUCUGAUUUCUUUAUUUAAUGACAGGUCGAUUCUUUGCUCGCCAUCUAGGCUUUGGUAAAAUAAAUUCCAACAUCCGUAUAAUGGUUUCAAGAAUAUUCCUAUAAUAAAAAACUUAACUUUAUUGAAUUAUUAACAAUUUUAAACCAUCUCGACUUUGUUGGAUUAAUUCCAACUUCACUAUAAUGGUAUGAGUUUAGCAAAUUAACACAAGUGAUAAUGAGUGAUAUUUAUUUUCGUUUUCAUUUAUUAACUGGACUACUUCCUUAUGGGAGGUUGGUAAAGAAUAAAUUAAUAAAGUAAUAAAUAAAUGUUAGUUGCAGAAUUUAAAUGACAGAAAAUAAAUGUUAGUUGUGGAAAUGUAAAUGACUAAAAAUAAAAGUUAGUAGUUAGAUCAUUCAUUAUAAUUGAGUAUUUUUUAUUUUCAAAAAGAUAUAAUUUAUGAAUUAAAUUGCACUUUGAUUCAAUGUUUCUUUUUCUUGUCAACAAAUAAAAUUUAGAAGUUAAUAAUUUAUUAUUUUACAUUUGCAUAUCUUUCAAGAUUCAAUUGUAGUAUAGUAUACGGUUAUAUCGAACCACAAGGAAUUACGUAAUAGAAAUGUACUCAUACUUUGUAUCUUUUAUCAAAAGUAAUAAAGUAACAAUUACAGUUGUUUUUGUGAUUUUAUGAACUAAGAAACAUGAAAAAUUAAAGAACUAACUAUUUACAAAUUCAAGAAGGAAAAAUUGAUUUGAAAGAUUGAAUUAUUUCUUGACUCAAAUAAUUUUGGAAACAUUACAAGUUAUGUGUUAUACUUUCGGUUAAUUCCACACACCAUUUCUAAAUCCUUCAUCUAGUGUCCUAGAAUGAUAAGAUGAUUUUCAAACCUUAUGUAAUACACUAAACAAUAGUUAAGCGCCACUGGCAGAGUAGGUUGUCACAUCCUACUUCAGGAUCCAUUAACAUCAUUUAGCCUUGAAUAUAAGUUGCUUAAAAUAGAUGUUUGAUAUGGCAAGUGAACUAAGGUGUAGGUUAUACUUUUUAGUUCACUUGUCAAAACUUUAAGAAGAAGCAUUUUGGAUCUUUAAAUCAAUUUUUAGGUGAUCAAGUGAAAACCGCAUUAAGAACUUCAUAAAGAAUCAAAACUUAACAAAAAAGUAAUAACUUGAAUGCAUUGAUUUCAAAGGAUAAAUUAAAGAUAAGAAAUUACACCAUAAUCCAAGUGAAUUUGUAGGAGAAUGAGCCAUCUAUCCAAGGAUGAGAUGUUUUUCAAUCUCCUUACCCAAAAAAAAAAUCAACAAAAGAUGUCAAAAAUAAACUCCAUUCCCUUUGAAUUUCUAUGAGCUAAAAGCAUAAAAACAGCCUAAGAACACUCUCAAAUGAGAGAGAACCAAAAAUGAGAAGAAAAAUAGUAUGUAUAAUGAUUUAAAAGUGAAGAAAUGGGUGUUCCUUUUAUAGGCAAUAGGGGGGCUUAGCCCUCCUUCCUGUCUGCUUAGUUCACUGGUGGGUCAACAACUUGUCCCAUAUUGGCCAGCUAGCUUGGACAGCCUAUUUUGGGCUAGGCUGCAUGCAUGGUGACACCUCAUACUUGCUUGUGUCAUGUAUGAGGUCAUAAACUUGGCUCAGAAGCUAGCUUUUGCUGGUUGUUUGGCUUGUGACAUCAUUCCUGACAUAACCAUUCUUUUAGGCCAAGCAACCAUUUUUCUGGUGGGUCAAGUGCUAGGCUGACCUGGUUCCACGCUCAGCUGCCUGCUUGAACAACAUGGCUGACCAAGUGCACGCUCAGCUGUCUGCUUGAGCAGCCUGACUGACCUGGCCUAGUGCUUGGUGCUUGGCAGACCUAGCCUAGUGCUUCGUGCUUGGUGCUUGGUUGACCUGGCCUGAUGCUUGGAUGACAUGGCCUGGUGCUUGGCUGACCUGGCCUUGUGCUUGGCUAACCUGGCCUGGUGCUUGGCUGACCUGGCCUAGUGCUUGGUUGUCUGGUCUAACCUAGCCUGGUGCUUGGUGCUUGGUUGGGCAACUUUGUGCUUGGAUGGACAACUUUGUGAGCAACUUUUAUUUGGCUUUAAUUUCUUCCAACUUUUAAGAAAACACCUUACAAUGUUUAGUUUUAAGCACAUAUGUGUCAUGUACACACACAUGCUUCAUGUACUUUGGCUUAAUUUCUUCAAGGUGAAGCAUGUUUUCUUUCUUCAAGCCUAAGCAUUCUUUUUGGUCCAGUUUCCUACAAAACUCAAAGAGAACUUGGACAAGAGGUGAUAAAAAAUCAUAUUAUGCAAACACACAAAAUUGAUCUAAAAAGUGUUGAAUUAAGUUGUUUUCACAUUUUUUGCAUAGGAUAAGUGUCAUGAAGAGUUUAUGAAAAUUAGGUAUUUUUGGCACUUAUCAACUCCCCCAACUUAAGACUUUGUUUUUCCCCAAAUAAAGGUUAAAUAAGAACUACUUGGCUUUGGAAGAAUUAAACUUGGACAAGAUCAAAACUAUGCAUCAUUCUUUAAGGUUCCAUAAUAUGUGUUUAUGAUGAUGUGAUUUUGACUCAUAAUGCUUCAAACUAAGAAUAAACACAUCUUUUCAAAAAUUCAUUUAGCAUUUUACUUAUAGAAAUUGUUAUAAAUAAAAGAGAUGCAUUUUCACACACGAUUCAAGAAUGGAACCGAAUGGGUAAGUAUUUCACUCAAAACUCAACUUGUUUUGGUUUACAAGAAUUUAAUUUGGUUUUUCUUCUCAACACUUACUUUGAUUGCACAAAAAUUUUCAAGGAUCACUAAGGUCUACCUUAGGUUGUAAUGAGGCUUGACUAUCAAAUAAAAUUGGUUUUUCAAGAUAUUCAAAAAUACUUCCAAAGUUAAAAGAGAGCAAAAAUUGAUUUGUCUUUUAAAAUGCAUACUCUUUUUCAACCUUUUUCACCUUUCUUCUUUUUCUUUCUUUCCUCAUUCUUUUUUUUGACCUUUUUAUGUAAUGUUUAUUGAUUUAUCUCAAUCUCUUUUUCCUCCUUCUUGUUUUUGGAGCAUUUCUUUACUUUUUUUAUUUGUAAAGAAAUUGAGAAUUUUUUCUUUUCAACACUUUUACAAGGCCAACCAUUCCUCCAACUUAAUAUUUUCCAUCACCCUUUCUUUUUUUGAAAAAUGCUCUCCUUUUACUUAGGAAAGUAUAGGAGAUUUUAUUUUUAUUUUUCCAUAUUAGGCUCAAGGGUUGUGUUUGAAAUAAUAAUUUUUCUUUGUAAGGCACAAAGGGGUUAACAAAGGAUGUUCAUAUUUUUGAUUGGUCAUUUUUAGUCAAGUGGUUUAUUCUAUUUUAAAGAACUUGCCUCGAUCAUUUCCUAUCAAACUGUGUGCAACCAAGUAAAGAAAGAUUCAAACAAAACCAAUUGUGCAAAUGCAAAAAGUUUCUCGCUAAGCUCACAUAAUUUUUGUGUUUGGCUUACACUCCCUCACAUGGUUGGUUUAUGUACAAAUCUUUGAUUUUCAAACAAAUUCACAAGUUCAUGAUAAAUGAUUUUCCAAAAAGUGUGCAUUUUAUCAAAGUUAUGACAUUACAAAUUAAUCAAAAAUGUCAGAUUUUCAUCUCAUGAUGUGAAUUUACAAAGUCAUUGAUCUUGUUAAAAUUUUAAGUCAAGGUGUGUUAUCUAUUUAGUUUAGUUUCAACAAUUUCACCUAUUAAACAAAUUAUCAAAAUGAAACUAAAAUAAAAGCACAACUUAAAAAAUGAAUCACACUAGGAAAAACAAUUAAAGCAAGUAAACACAAUAAAAAGAAAACAAACACACACUAAUUUUUUUAAAAAUACACCAAAAUGAAUUUCUUUCAAAAUUUAUACACACUUCCCCCAACUUAUGUUCUUGACUUGUCCGCAAGUAAUUUUGAAAAUAUUUUAAGAAAAUUUGUGUAACAUUUUGAAAGAAAUGGAAUUAAAAACUAACCAAACUUGUUAGGAGAACUCAGAAUUUCAUUCUCCUUGAUUUUACUAUCCUCUCCAAGAUAGUGGUGCCUUUAGAGCCAACUCUUUUUGUCCUUUUGUUUUUGGACUUGUUUUCCUGUAAAUCAUUAGAACUUGCAAUUUCUUUUUCCUUGAGGUUAGUCUAACAAUUUACAUGAAUUUUUCAAUUUCGAAAACAUUAUGUUCAAGAAUAAAAUUUGAUUGACAUAAAUUCCAAAUUAAACAUCGUGCUUUUAUUCAUGAAAAUUAUGUUUACAUUAAAAAUUUAAGCAUUUUUCAAGUCCAAUUGAUAAAUGGAAAUCCAAACCGAAUUUUAUGUGAUUCCAAACACCAAUAUAUCAAUUCAAACAACCACAAAUAAAUCUAUUCAGAAGUUCAUGAAUUUAUUUUUUUAAAUUGUAAACCAAACAACAACUUAGUCAAACAAAGAACACAUUUUUAGGAGUUCUCAAGUUUGGAAAAAUUAAUUUUUGGCACAAAUUGAACAAUCAUGCUUUGAGUUUAAACAAUUUUAUUUCACAACCUUAAAAAUCAUCAACUAAAGCAUGUGUAUAGAGAUGUAGGUUGAACAAUCACAAAAUAAAAUAUGAUCAUGAAAAAGUGCAUGUGACUUAACCUUUAAGGAUUAGAGUAGCUUCUUUUAGGAAUUUUAAAGAAUUAGUUUUCAUCGUUCUUUGAAAAGUCCAGCCACUAUUCCUUUCUCAAUCCUAUCCCUUUUAUGUUGUUCUUUGGAAAAGGUUGAUGAGAGGUACCUCCACAUCACCUAAAUUUUUUUAUAACAACAACAAAAGGUUUCAUAACUAGUGGGUUCUCACUCCACUAGUUCAACUUUUCUUUCUUUUUGGGUUUUUAAUUUUUAAAUGUACAAAAAAGAAAAACAAAAGCAAGAUGUACAAAACGAUAAAUAAAUUUAUACAAAAAGAAAAGAAAUUUUUAUUUACAAAUACUAAUGAUAAAAAAUAUAAGUAUGAAUUUCCAUUACCUAGCAAUUCCCCGUCAAAGGCACCAAUUUGUUGAACUAGUUAUUGUUGCUAGUUAUUAGGAAAGUUUCUGAUUUCUUUAUUUAAUGACAGGUCGAUUCUUUGUUCGUCAUCUCGGCUUUGUUGGAAUAACUUUCAACGCCAGUAUAAUGGUUUGAAGAAUGUUUCUUUAAUAAAAAACUUAGCUUUAUUGAAUUAUUAACUAUUUCAUACCAUCUCGGCUUUGUUGGAUUAAUUCCAACGUUGGUGUAAUGGUAUGAGUUUAGCAAAUUAACACAAGUGAUAAUGAGUGAUAUUUAUUUUCGUUUUCCUUUAUUAACCGGACUACUUCCUUUCGGAAGGUUGGUAAAGAAUAAAUAAAUGUUAGUUCCAGAAUUUAAAUGACAGAAAAUAAAUGUUAGUUGCGGAAAUGUAAAUGACUAAAAAUAAAAGUUAGUAGUUAGAUGACUCGUUAUAAUUGUGUAUAUUUCCUUUUCACAAAGAUACAAUUUAUGAAUUAAAUUGCACUUUGAUUCAAAGUUUCUUUUACUUGUCAACAAAUAAAAUUUAUAAGUUAAGACUUUACUAUUUUACAUUUGCAUCUCUUUCAAGAUUCAAUUGUAGUAUAGUAUAGGGUUAUGUCGAACCACAAGGAAUUGCCUAAUAGAAAUGUACUCAUACUUUGUAUCAUUUAUCAAAAGUAAUAAAGUAACAAUUAAAGUUGUUUUUGUGAUUUUAUGAAUUAAGAAACAUGAAAAAGUAAAGAACUAACUAUUUACAAAUUCAAGAAGAGAAAAUUGGUUUGAAAUAUGGAAUUAUUUCUAAACUCAAAUGAUUUUGAUGUUAGGUAUCAGUGGCUAAAAUACACCUAGAAGGGGGGGGGUUGAAUAGGUGUAGCGGUCAGAGUAUCCGCUUUUCGAAAACAAAAAAUUAUGCUGAAAUAACCCCAGAUUAAUCGAUUAACUGAACGCAAAUAAUCGAUUAACGCAAUCACUUUAAUCGGUUAAAACAACUCAGAAAUUACAAACAGAUUCGGUUUCUUACACGACAAUUAACCGAGAUUGAAACGAAUAUACAGAGCUUACAAAAUAUCAGAGUUACACCAGUAUAGUAUAGAAACAGAAUAUAGCAAUUAAAACAACUAUACAAAGUAACCGAUUAAAGCAAUAAAGAGAGAAAGAGAGAGAAAAAUCAUGCAACACGAUUUUUAUCCUGGUUCGUUUGCAUGUCCACUCGCAAACUACAUCCAGGCUUCCCGACUGAUCUGGGAGAUUUUUCUUCACUAUAAUUGAAAUAAUGUUUUACAAGCAAUUCUUCCAAUUACAACACUUAGACAAUUACUUGAAACUAAAGAACCUUAUCCCUUGGUUUGACUCCCUUCCUACCGCCCAAGAAAACCUUUCUUGCGGUGUAGCCCCAGCCAAGAACCUAUUCUUUCUAUCAAGAACUCUAAGCUAAUGAAGAUACAACACAAUCUCGUUGGUGGUAAGACACCUUGAGAUUCCCAAAGUUACAACACUUUUUACAACAAAAACAUAGAGUAAUCUAAAGCAAUUACAAUGCUCAAAUUUAACAAUUAAGACCUUACUCUAAAACUCUAACACAAGUCUCAUAUAACAUGACAAUGUAUUAGUUGAAAACAUAUUUUACAUAAUACAAAAUCUUUACAAAAACAUCAAUGAAUGCAUGAACAUGUGAGAUGAAAUGAUGAGAAAUUAAACAUGAAAUGCCUCUCAAUCCUAAAGCAUAGAAUUCUCUCUUUUCUAAUCUCACAAAUACAAUGUCAUAUAGAUGCAACAAUUAACACGAAAUAUGCUCUAACUCUCUUAAAAAUGCAACAUGCAAGUUAUGGCUUACGUUCUGAAAACACAGUUUAUAAAGAAUUACUUCAGCAACCCAGUUAAUCGAUUAAGACCUUGGUUAAUCGAUUAACGUGUUUCAAAAACGUAACUGAUUCUGUUUUUCCAAGUUUUCAGUUUCAACAACUUUUCAAAAACUUAUGUUAAUCGAUUAAAACAUACCUUAAUCGAUUAACUGCAUAUUUCCAAGUAUAUUUUCAAUUUGCAAAACUCAAAUACGUUAUGCACUUAAUUUAUACAUGUUCAACACUAAGUUUAUGCCUAGGAUGCACAGAUUACAUGUAUUUAUGUGAUGCAUGAACAUAUUAUAAAUGACAUAUCUCAAAACUAAAAUGAUUUAAAGUUUUAUGCAUAUGAGACAUGUAUUGAGUUUACCUAAGCCUUAGACUCAACCUAAACUAAUUACUAGUCUAAGUCUAAUACCAAUCUUGAGACUUAAGCACGUUGAUUUGUUGAUGAUCUUCAAGCUCUUAUAAACACAAGUUGUCCUCAUCAAAACCAAAACAUAUAGUGAGAAAGCUUUCCAAAGUGCUCAUCUUGACAUGCGCACUUUCAAAGGUGAAAUAGUGAGAAAUUAAACAUGUAAUGCCUCUCAAUCCUAAAACAUAGAAUUCUCUCUUUUUUAAUCUCACAAAUGCAAUGUCAUAUAGAUGCAACUAUUAACAUGAAAUAUUCUCUAACUCUCUAAAAAAUGCAACAUGCAAGUUAUGGCUUCAGUUCAGAAAACGCAGUUUAUAAAGAAUCACUUCAGCAGCCUAGUUGAUCGAUUAAGACCUUGGUUAAUCGAUUAACGUGUUUUAAAAACAUAACUGAUUCUGUUUUUCCAAGUUUNNNNNNNNNNNNNNNNNNNNNNNNNNNNNNNNNNNNNNNNNNNNNNNNNNNNNNNNNNNNNNNNNNNNNNNNNNNNNNNNNNNNNNNNNNNNNNNNNNNNCCUUAGACUCAACCUAAACUAAUUACUAGUCUAAGUCUAAUACCAAUCUAGAGACUUAAGCAUGCUGAUUUGUUGAUGAUCUUCAAGCUCUUAUAAUCACAAGUUGUCCUCAUCAAAACUAAACACAUAGUGAGAAAGCUUUCCAAAGUGCUAUCUUGACAUGUGCACUUUCAUUUGAAAACAGUACAAGUUAUGUGUUAUACUUUAGGUUAAUUCCACACACCGUUUCUAAAUCCCUCAUCUAGUUUCCUAAUAUGAAAAGAUGAUUUUCAAACAUUAUGAAAUACUCUAAACAAUAGAUAAGUGCCACUCGCCGGAGCAAGUUAUCACACCCUACUUCAGGCUCCAUUAACAUCAUUUAGCCUUAAUCAUAAGUGACUUAAAAUAGAUGCUUGAUAUGGCAAGUGAACUUGAAAGUGCGCAUGCCAAGAGGAGCACUUUGGAAAGCUCUCUCACUAUGUGUUUAGUUUUGAUGAGGACAACUUGUAAUUAUAAGAGCUUGAAGAUCAUCAACAAAUCAACAUGCUUAAGUCUCAAAUUGGUAUUAGACUUACACUAGUAAUUAGUUUAGGUUGAGUCUAAGGCUUAGGUAAACUCAAUACAUGUCUCAUAUGCAUAAAACUUUAAAUCAUUUUAAGUUUUGAGAUAUGUCAUUUAUAAUAUGUUCAUGCAUCAUAUAAAUACAUGCAAUCUGUGCAUCCUAGGCAUAAACUUAGUAUUGAACAUGUAUAAAUUAAGUGCAUAACGUAUUUGNNNNNNNNNNNNNNNNNNNNNNNNNNNNNNNNNNNNNNNNNNNNNNNNNNNNNNNNNNNNNNNNNNNNNNNNNNNNNNNNNNNNNNNNNNNNNNNNNNNNUCGUGUCUGAUGAUGUUUCAGGUGCUUUAGAGGAAGCAUACUCAAAGGACGUGGAUAAUGAAAAAGCAACCAAUGAAGAAUGUUAGACCAAAUCUCAGGAGCAUUCAGAUAUGCCAGAUGUGUAGAAAACUACGAAAGCUCACCCAAUCGACAAAGUAAUAGGUGACAUAUCUACGGGAGUGGUAACCCGUAGUUCCUUACGAAAUUUCUGUAAUUUUGUAGCUUUUGUAUCUCAGAUUGAGCCUAAGACCAUUGAUGAGGCCAUUGAGGAUGUGUACUGGGGUAUAGCUAUGCAUGAAGAGCUAAACCAGUUCGAACAUAACAGUGUUUGGGACUUGGUCCCUAAACCCAAAGAUCAUCCUGUGAUUGGUACCAGAUGGGUCUUCAGAAACAAAAUUGAUGAAUGAGGCUUAAUCAUUCGAAAUAAGGCACGCUUGGUGGCCAAAGGCUACAACCAGGAGGAAGGUAUCGACUAUGACGAAACCUAUGCCCCUGUAGCCAGAUUAGAGGCCAUCAGGAUGCUUCUUUCCUUUGCAUCUAUUAUGAAUUUCAAAUUAUUUCAAAUGGACGUAAAAAGCGCCUUCUUGAAUGGUUACAUUCAAGAAGAAGUUUAUGUUGACCAACCGCCUGGUUUUGAAAAUUUUAAAUAUCCGAACCACGUUUAUAAACUUAANNNNNNNNNNNNNNNNNNNNNNNNNNNNNNNNNNNNNNNNNNNNNNNNNNNNNNNNNNNNNNNNNNNNNNNNNNNNNNNNNNNNNNNNNNNNNNNNNNNNUAGACAUCAUUUUUUACGUGAUCAUGUACAAAAAGGUGACUGCGUUCUUGAAUUUGUUGAAACCUCUAGACAGUUAGCAGAUAUUUUCACCAAGCCCCUUCCACGGGAUACUUUCUAUGUUCUAAGGAGAGAACUUGGAAUUCUUGAUGAACAAUAUCUUGAUUAAAACUGUUUAGAUGUCUGCUUUAUGUCGUGUCUCUAUAUGUUUAUUUGUCUCUUAUUCUAAAUGAUAUCUUUUGUAGUGCAAAAUUAUAUCUCAUGAUAACUUCCUUACGUGAAUGUGUCGAUUAAUCCGUCAAAAUGCAUGCAUAAGCCCUAAAGAGUUAAAACCAUUCUGCUAGCUAAAAACCAUUUUUUUACCGUGUUUAAUCGAUUAAAUACUUAGUGUUAAUCGACUACCUAGGCAUCAUUUUGUGAAAAAUCAAUUUUUACAUGAUUUUAAUCGAUUAACUAUGCCUGUUAAUCGAUUAAAACCAGCAGUUUAAGUGCAGACAACACCUCAGUUUCACGUUUUUUUUGGCAUUUUUUCCACCUCUUGUCACUUUUGAGUCUCUGAAAUUGUAACUCAACUGACCCAAGUGCACUAAGGUAGAUAAACCUCACCCUAACCCUCUCAAACCAUCUAAAAGUCUCACUUUAUCAUCCUCAUUCCAUCACAUUCCCAAUUUUUCCCCAAAUUAAACCCUAGGUUAGGUUUGCCCAAUCCUUCUCUGCUCAGUCCAACAUCAAUUCGGGUUCUACAACUAAAAUGGAGCUUGGUCGCGCAAAAAGGUCCAAAACUCCUGCCAACCGUGGACGAAGACAGGAAGCUGGCUCAUCAUCCACUCGGGACCGCGGUGACCCAUUUUACUCGCUUAUCUUGCAAGAGACUCGUUUGGUGAAGUUCCAAGGACGCUAACCCACUUAUGUAAGGUAUGUCGACUUAACCUGGAUGGCGGAACAAAAUUUUAGUUUUCCGUAUGAUAUGGAGGCUCAGGGAGCCAUUAAAUUUCUAGUAUUAAAGGGACAAGUUUACCCUGCUCUAGUUAGGGAAUUUUAUGCAAAUUUCAGAUAUAAGGAUGGUAAAUAUUGGUCUAUGAUUUCUGGUAAACUGUUUGAGAUUAGUGAUGAACUGUUUAUGAAUGUUGGUGGGUUAUCAUCUUCGGGUUAUGGAAUAGGAGACUGCUCUCAUGGGUUAAGGAUAACUUUGGUCCUACUGAGGUUUAUAAGUCAUUUCUUAGAGGUCCUCAUUUGUAUAUUCCGGGACAACUGACCAAGGCUGGGUCAUUAUCUGUUGAGAACAGGCUGCUGCAUUAUGUCAUUGCUUAUAUUCUGGUGCAGAGGAACACAAAUCAUGUGCAGCCUACUGUGAAUGAUUUGCGUUUCAUGUACGUUGUUAAGAAUAAUGUAAUGAUUAACUGGCCUGAGGAAAUAUUGAAGAUUAUGAACAGUGUAUCUCUGUCUCAGUCGAAGCUUCUUCCCUACAGUAUAUUCAUUUCACGCAUUAUGGAUUAUUUACAUAUCGAUGUUUCUGACACCAUUAUUGUUGAGUAUACUGAUAAGGAUCAUCUGGUCGGUGAGAGUCUGAUUCAUAAAAUGGGUAUCUAUAAGUACAGUACUACUUGGCAAUACCAGGGACUACACUACUAUUGAUCUCGAGCUGUCCAGUGAUGAUGAUCAGGGUGGCAUGGGUGAUCAGAAUGCUACAAAUCAGGGGGAGCCCUCUAGGACAGCAUCACAGGAUUCUGUUUUCGGUAUGGCUGAGAUGGAAGCUAUAGGCUCAACAACCGCUUGGAUCUUCAUUUUCAAGGGUUGAAGGACUCAUACUUUGCAGGUAUGGAACAGUAUGAAGAGCGUCAAACUGCCUAUUCAGACAACCAAUAUCAGUCGGUGAGAAAUCUGANNNNNNNNNNNNNNNNNNNNNNNNNNNNNNNNNNNNNNNNNNNNNNNNNNNNNNNNNNNNNNNNNNNNNNNNNNNNNNNNNNNNNNNNNNNNNNNNNNNNUCUCUAGAUUGGUAUUAGACUUAGACUAAUAGUUAGUUUAGGUUGAGUCUAAGGCUUAGGUAAACUCUAUACAUGUCUCAUAUGCAUAGAACUUUAAAUCCUUUUAAGUUUUGAGAUAUGUCAUUUAUAAUAUGUUCAUGCAUCAUAUAAAUACAUGUAAUCUGUGCAUCCUAGGCAUAAACUUAGUGUUGAACAUGUAUAAAUUAAGUGCAUAACGUAUUUGAGUUUUGCAAUUUGAAAAUACACUUGGAAAUAUGUUGUUAAUCGAUUAAGGCAUGAUUUAAUCGAUUAACAUAAGUUUUUGAAAAGUUGUUGAAACUGAAAACUUGGAAAAACAGAAUCAGUUACAUUUUUAGCUAUUGAUACCUAACAGAACUAAGGUGUAAGUUAUAAUUUUUAGUUCACUUGUCAACACUUUAAGAAGAUGCAUUUUUGGGAUCAUUAAAUCAAGUUUUAGGUUCUCGAGCUAAAAUUGUAUUAAGAACUUCUUAAAGAAUCAAAACUUAACCAAAAAGUAAUAACUUGAAUGUAUUGAAAUCAAAAUAUGAGAUAAGUGAAGAGAAGAAAUAACCUUACACCAUAAUCCAAAUCAAUAUGUGGGCGCAUGAGUCAUCUAUCCAAGGAUGAGAUGCUUUUGAUUCCAAAUAAGGUUACAAAAUCAUGUUUUUGCACCUCAUUUGCCAACUCCAUUCCCUUUGAAUUUCUAUGAGCUAAAAGCCUAAAACCAAUAUAAGAAUACUCUCAAAUGAAAGAGAACCGAAAAUGAGAAUAAAAAUGGUAUGUACAAUGAUUUAAAAGUGAAGAAAUGGGUGUGCCUUUUUAUAGGUAAUGGGAGGGCCGCUUAGCCCCCUUCCUGGCCGCUUAGCUCACUGGUGGGUCAGCAGCUUGUCCCAUCUUGUCCAGCUAGCUUGGACAACCUAUUGUGGGCUAAGUUGCAUGCAUGGUGACACCUCCUACUUGCUUGUGUCAUGUAUUAGGUCAUAAACUUGGCUUAGAAGCUAGCUUUUGCUGGUUGCUUGGCUUGUGACAUCAUUCAUGACAUAACAUUCUUCGACGCUAAGAAACCAUUUUUCUGGUGGGUCAGGCGCUAGGUUGACCUAGUUCCAUGCUCAAUUGUCUGCUUGUGUAGCUUGGCUGACCUGGUGCAUGCUCAGCUGCCUGCUUGUGUAGCAUGGCUAACCUGGCCUGAUGCAUGGUGCUUGGCUGACCUGACCUGGUGCUUGGCUGACCAGACCUAGUGUUUGGUGCUUGGCUGACCUGGCAUGGUGCUUGGUGCUUGGCUGACCUGGCCAGGUGCUUGGUGCUUGGCUGACCUGGCCAGGUGCUUGGUGUUUGGCUUAUGUGACCAGUUGCUUGGUGCUUGACUGACCUGGCCUGGUGCUUGUCUGACUAGCCUAACCUGGCCUAGUGCUUGUUUGACUCGUCUAACCUGGCCUGGUGCUUGGUGUAUGGUUGGCAUGGCCUGGUGCUUGGCCUAUGGCUGACCUGGCCUGGUGCUUGACUGACCUGGCCUGGUGUUUGGUGCUUGGUUGGACAGCUUUGUCCUUGGCUCGACAGCUAUGUGAGCAUAUUUUAUUUGGCUUUAAUUUCUUCCAACCAAGACAAAGUUUCUUAGUCAUGCUUAUGUUUUAAGCAUGCACCUUACCAUGCUUAGUUUUAAGCACACAUUUUCAUGUACUUUUGGUUGAUUUCUUCAAGGUGAAUUAAGUUUUCUUUCUUCAAGCCUAAGCAUUCUUUUUGGUCCAAUUUCAUACAAAACCCAAAAAAAAAACUUGGACAAGAGGUGAUCAAAAAUCAUAUUAUGCAAACACACAAAAUUUAUCUAAAAAGUGUUGAAUUAAGUUGUUUUCACAUUUUUUGCAUAGGAUAAGUGCCAUGAAAAUUUUAUGAAAAUUAGGUAUUUUUGGCACUUAUCAAAGAGUUAGCAUAUUUUGUAUUUAAGGUUUCAUUUUCAAUUUUCAGCAUAUCAAUGAAAAUUUUCAAUUCACAUAUUUUCUUUUCAAGAUCUAAAAUUAAUCUUUUUCUAUUCAUGCAAUUUUUAGCUAACAUUUUAAGAUCUUCAUGCAUUUCAACAUAAGCAACAUAUAGCAUGUCAUACAUGGGAAAUAUAUCAGAGUUUGAAAUAGAAACAGAUGAGUGUACCUCAAUAGGCUCAUCUUGCUCACUAACUUUGCAAGAAUUAAGAUUUUGAGUCAUUAGACAAAUCUUGUUUGAUUCUUCAUCUUCCGAGAUGCUUGUUGAUGAAUCGUUCUCUUCGGGUUCAUCCCAAAAAAUGUGUACCUUCUUAGAUUUGAUGUCCUGAGAGUCUUUCUUGUGAUCAAGUUCAAUCUUCUUGGAAGAGGUAGGGCAUGUGUACCUCAUCGAACUACGUUCCCUCUUUUGUGGCAAGUUGCUUUUUCUUUGGGAUUCUUUCUCAUUUGGAUUGAACUUUCUUUAUCUUCCUUAUGAAGCUUCUAGAGUCCUUCAUUAUUUAUUAACUACUUUCUAAAUUUGUUCAUGAGGAGGGACAUAGCUUCAUCCCUUGUGUCGGAAUCGGACUCAUCAAAUUCAUAUGUCUCCUUUUGACUUAUUGAAUGUGAUUUUGUCGCUUUGAAGGAUGUUUCUUUGAGGUUUUCGUCCAUUUUUUCAUUGAGUGUCAAACAUCUUAAUUCCAACUCAAGUUCUUGAAGUUUUCCAAAUAAUGUUGUGAGCAUCAUUUGUUUCAAGUCCUUUGACUCCAUGGUGGUAGUCACCUUGGGUUGUCAUUUCCUAUCCAGACAUCUCAACAUUUUAACAGUUAUUUCAUGUUUGGCAAAUGAUUUAUCUAAUGCAAUGAGGUGAUUAAUAAUGUGAGUAAAUCAUUUUUACAAAUCAUAAAUAGACUCAUGUGGAAACAUAUGAAAUAAUUCAUACUCAUGCAUCAAUGUAUUCAAUCUAGAUCGUUUGACCUCACUAUGCCUCUGUGGGUUACUUGUAAAGUGUCCCACAUAUCCUUGGUACUAUCGUACUAAGAAAAUCUAAAGAACUCAUCGUAUGAGAGUGCAUAAGUUAUAAUACUUUUCGCUUUCAAAUCAAAUUGCACUUUUCUCUUUUCCUCGUUGGUCAAGAGACUUCUAGGUUUCUCUUUCGUUUCGCUGUUCACUGGGUGUACUGGAAUGAAUGGUCCAUAUUCUAUGGAAUCCCAAAUUUUCGUAUCAAAAGCCUCAAUAAAAAUUCUCAUUCAGAUUUUCCAGUUGGCGUAACCCUUACCAUUGAAAAUCGGAGGGCAGUCGAUGGAUGCGCCAUCACUGCUAAACAGGUUAGAAGAGCCCAUGGUAAAAGUGCCUAGGAUCAACGAUCUAAGCGACUAAGCUAGCAUGGUCGUAAUAGCUCUGAUACCACAUGUUGGGUCCCACAGGGCUCUAUCACUCACCUAGAGGGGGGUGAAUAGGUGAUAUGGUACACGAUUACCAUUGCUCGAUAAACAAAUAGCAAACAUAAAAUUAUACACUAUUUAAUCGAUUAAAUACAACUAUAAUCGAUUAAUUCAGUCUGUUUUUAAUCGAUUAACUAAACACCUUGAUCGAUUAUUUAGUUCUUGUUCAAUGAAAACAAUUUUCUUUCGACCUCCAAGAUUCAACUAAACUUAUAUGCACUUAUUACAUAAGAUUAAGAAUAGUAAAUGCACAAUACAGAAUAUGCAAUUAAUACAUAAUUAUAUGCAUCCCAAGUUAAGUAAAUAAAGUAAUAUGGAAAUGUAAAAGAUAAGGGAAAAGAAGAAUGAGACACAGAUUUUAUCCCGACUUGUUUGCGAUUCCACUUGCAAAAUACAUCCAUGUCUCCCCUUCUGAUCUUGGGAGAUUUUUCUUCAUUAUGAAAUAUUUAAUGUACUUUUACAAACAAGCUUCCAAUACAAGACGCGAGAUGCUACUUUCUUGAUCUCUGUGAACUUAAAAACCUCGAUUUGGCCUCUCUCUCUCCUACUAAGAUAUCCUAUCUUUUCGAGAUUAGGCCCCAGCCAGGCAUCGAUCAAUAUCAAGACCUCUUGCUUCUCGUAAAGACACACCUAACAACAGCUAGGAUUUUUUCCAAACAUAUUCUCUAUCAAUAGCGAUAACAAUCACACCAAGAGAAUAUGUUGUUGCCUUGGCUAACAAGUCUUUCAAGUUAUGUGUGAACCUCAAUGUGCAGAUUUAACCACUCUUCUUAGAAUCUAAGAACCCUUCUAAAAGAUCUCACAAUUGAAGAUGUAAGCAUGCAUGAAUGCAAGAUUGAAGAGGCAAGCAUGCAUCACAAAAUGUUUUGAUGAAGACAAAUGACACACAAAGGUUGAUGGAGACAAAACAGUGAUAAAGGCAAAGGAUUGAAAUCAUGCAUAAAUGUUGAAGGACAAGCUUGAGAGGAUAAGAAAAUCAACAAACAACAAGUAUCAACGAUAAAGUCAAGACUCAAGUACAUACAAGGCAAAACAUUCAAAAGAAGAUCUAGGGGUUAAGUAUUUUUAUAUCUUUAUUAGGUCUUAAGAUGUUUGCUUAGUAAGAGUCUAGGCUAGGAUGGACCCUAAUGAAAGUCUCACAAGCUAAAAUCAAUCAUAAAUAAAUGAGGCUUGCAUGCCUACAUACAUGAUUUACACGCACAUGCAUACAUACAUGAUAAUAUGUUGUGGAUGCAUUUAAAAAGAGUUUUAAAUCACACAUCAUUCAAAGACAUGCAUCAUGCUUUUACAAAUCAUGUAGGAGGUUCAUUCAUCAUUAAAAAUAUAUUUUAAAAAACCAUUUAAUCGAUUAGGAGUCAUAUUAAUCGAUUAGGAGUCAUAUUAAUCGAUUAGGAGUCAUAUUAAUCGAUUAAGUUUUGGGAACCUGUUAUUCAAUUAUGUCAGGUGUUAGUUGAUUAAGUUGGUAAGAAACCUGUUAAUCGAUUAAAUCAGUAGUUAAUCGAUUAAGCUAGUAAUUGUUUUUGUUUUCUAUUAUUUUGAAGAAACCGACUAAUCGAUUAAGGUUCAGUAUAAUCGAUUAACUAUAGUUAAAAACAUAACAGUAUAUAAACCCAAGUUUUUCAUAUUGGUUCAUAAUAAUAUAAUAUAGAUCAUAUUAGACAAUAUUGAUUUAGAGGGUUAGAACAUAUUUUCAAGAACAGAGAGUUUUACACUUUAUUGAGAAGAUCUAAAGCUCAAACUUUCAUAUCUUUAGGAAAGAUUUUCAAGUGUUCUUUCAAGAAAAUAAAAGCUUGAAUCUUUAUAAGAUACCGUUGAGCUUUCAUUGUCAAAUCUAUGAAAAAGAAACCUGCAUCUCAACAUUGUAUUUUUGUAUUCUUGAGAUCUUAUAGGGGUUCUUACAUUCGUAGAAGAUUGUAAAGUCUGCACAUAGAGGUGCAUAUGUAACUUGAAGAAUUUUUGUUAGACUUAGGCAAUAACACAUUCUCUUAGUGUAUUGUAUCACCAAAGAAAGAGAAUAGGUUUGGGAAAAAACUAGUUGUGGUUAGGUAGGUGUCUUCGCGAGAAGCAAGAGGUCUUGGUUGUAAGCAAUACUUAGGCUGGGGCUAGAGUCGCAAACGGUGAGGUAUCCUAGUAGGCGAACUUUGUAGUCAAACCGAAGUGGGGGUUUAAGAUCCAAGAAAUGAGAUUCUUGAUUCUUAUAUUAGAAUUGUGUUUGUAAGAAACAUUGAAGAUUCCAUAAUGAAGAUAAAUUCUCCCAAGAUCAGAGAGGAAGGCCUAGAAGUAGUUUGCAGUGGACAGCAAACGAACCAGGAUAAACAGUCGAGUCUUAUUCUUCUUUCCCUAAUCUUUCUACAUUUCCACAUUACAUGAUUUAUGUAACUUGACAUGCAUAUAAUUAUGUGAUAAUUGCAUAUCUGUAUUGUGAAUUUAUUGUUCUUAAUUGUUUGUAUAUUGCAUGUAAGUUUGGUUGAAUCUUGGUAAUCUUGGAUGAUCGAAAGAAUUUUGUUUUCACUGUAAUUGAACUAGAUAAUCGAUUAAGUUGUUUAGAUAUUUGAUUAUUAGCAUAUUGAAUUAAUCGAUUAAUUUGCGUAGUUAAUCGAUUAAGAGCAGAUGAUGUAAUCAAUUAAGUAUGUCAUUAAUAAAUUAAACAUUGUGUAAAUUUGUAUAAUUUUGUGUUUAUCGAGCGAUGAUCAUUGUGUACCAUAUCACCUAUUCACCCCCCUCUAGGUGAGUGGCAGAGCCCCGUGGGACACAACAAGUGGUAUCAGAGCUAGUACGACUGUGCUAGCUUAGCCGCUUAGAUCGUUGAUCCUAGGCACUUUUACCAUGGGCUCUUCUAACCCGUUUAGCGGUGAUGGUGCAUCCAUCGAGUGCCCUUCAAUUUUCAGUGGUGAGGGUAUGGCUACUGGAAAAUCCAAAUGAGGAUUUUUAUUGAGGCCAUCGAUACAGAAAUUUACGAUUCCAUGGAAAUUGGACCUUUUGUUCCACUACACGUAGUGAACAGAAAAACGAAAGACAAACCUAUAAGUCUCUUGACCAACGAGGAAAAGAGAAAAGUGAAAUUCAAUUUGAAAGCGAAAACCCUUAUAACCUCUGCACUCUCAAACGAUGAGUUCUUUAGAGUUUCUCAAUGCAAUAGUGCCAACAAUAUGUGGGACACUUUACAAGUAACCCACAAAGGUACUAGUGAGGUCAAACGUUCUAGAUUGAAUACAUUGAUGCAUGAGUAUGAGUUAUUUCAUAUGUUUCCAUAUGAGUUUAUUUCUGAUUUACAAAAAUGAUUUAAUCAUAUUGUUAAUCAUCUCAUUGCAUUAGAUAAAUCAUUUGUCAAACAUGAAAUAACUGUUAAAGUGUUAAGAUGUCUAGAUAGCAAAUGGCAACCCAAGGUGACUGCCACCAUGGAGUCAAAGGACUUGGAACAACUGAUGCUCGCAACUCUAUUUGGCAAACAUCAAGAACAUGAUCAAGAAUUAAGACAUUUGACACUCAAUGAUCAAAUGAACGAGAACAUCAAAGAAACCUCGUUCAAAUUUACAAGAUCAGAUGCAAUAAGUCAAAAGGAGAUAUUUGAUGAUAGUGAGUCUGAUUCCGGCAAGGAUAAUGAAGCCAUGUCCCUCCUUAUUAACAAAUUCAGAAAGUACCUAAGAAAGAAUGGAGGAACCAAGAAGCUUCACAAGGAAGAUGAAAAUAGUUCGAUCAAGAUGAGCAAGAAUCCCAAACAUAAUGCAUCUUGCCAUAAGAAUAGGAAAGUAGGACGCAUGAGGUACACAUGCCCUACCACUUCCAAGAAGGUUGAACAAGAUUGCAAGAAAGAUACUCAGGACAUCAAAGCUAAUAAGGCAUAUAUCAUUUUGCAAGAACUCGAAGAGGACGAUUCGUCAACAAGCAUCUCAGCAGAUGAAGCAUCACACAAAAUUUGCCUAAUGGCUCAAAAUUCGAACUCUUGCGAAGUAAGUGAGCAAGAUGAGUCUAGUGAGGUAUACUCAUGCGAUUCUAGUUCAAAUUCCGAUAUAUCUCUCACAUAUAACAUGCUAUAUGAUGCUUAUGUUGAAACGCAUGAAGAACUUAAAAUGUUAGCUAAAAAGUGCAUGAAUAGCAAAAGGUUAAUUUUAGAUCAUGAAAAGAAAAUAUGUGAAUUGCAAAAUUUCAUUGAUAUGCUGAAAAUUGAAAAUGAAACCUUAGAUGCUAAAUAUGCUAACUCUUCAUAUGAUUGUACUUCUAACUUAAAUGUGGCAUCUAUUUGUGAAAAUUGCAUUUGCAUGAAAAAUGAACAUAAUGUCUUAAAUGAUAAACUUGCUAAUUUCACAUCUAUUUAUCACAAUUCAAACAACUUACUUACUACAUAUAAAAAUGAUGGGAUUAAGUCUAGUUUGGAAUGUAUGCACACAAAUAACAAAUUUCGCAAGAAACAAGUAAAUGUGCUGAAAAUUUCACAUCGUGAAUCACCUACUUGCUUUUAUUGUGGAUUGUAUGGUCAUACCUUGAAUGCAUGUAAUUUCUGAAUGCAUGUAAUUUCAGAAUGCAUGAUGUUCCAAAUGGAAAUUGUAUGUGGAUUACUAAGAAACAAAAUCCCCAAGCUACUAACAUCAAGGGACCCAAGCUUAGUUGGGUACCCAACAAAAGCAAGUAAUUGUGUUUUGUAGGUGUGCCUAAGGACAUAUGGACUUCAAAUUUCAUAUGGGUAGCAAGUGUUCUAGGAACAUAUGAAGGUGAGAAGAUCAAACUUCUUUGACUUUGCACCAAAGGAAAGUAGACUAUGACACCUAUGAGCAACUUGUUAUCACAAAUACUUGAAGAUAGGAAGCAUUGUGCAACAAAGGUAAAACAAGGUAUCGUUGCUUAAAUACAAGCAUUACAUACCUUAAGUGUCAUAGAUAUAUUCUAAAAUGAAAUCCUAGCCAGGCCAGAAACUCAAGAAUCAUGAUAUCCCCAAAAAUCAUUUUUAGGCCUAAUGCUUUAUGUUUCACAUUUACAUGAUCUCAAAUGCAAACAUGAUAUUAUUGAAUAAGUACAUGGAUCCUUUUUUCCAUGUUUUGAUUGAUAAGUGAAUGUAGAAACACCAUUAAGGAUUUUCUAAUCAUGUUGAAGCACAACUAAUUAAAUCUCACAUUAAUGCAAACUUAACCAAAACUAUGUUUUUGGAAAGCUUAUGCGAAUUUAAUGCUUGAUUAAGCCAUCUCCAAAAGAGGAGAGGAAUAGUAUUCUUACUAUUUUGUAGGUACAAAUGAGGAUAAAUACUUCAAGAAUUGAUAGUCUAUGCAAGAAAAGGACAAGAAUCACACAUUGAAGAAAGGCCAAAGAAAACAUCAAAUAUGGCAAACUUCAAACAUCUUCAUAAAGAUGAGGUAAAGCAUGUCAGGUAACCUAAUAUCGUGAUAAAUAUUAUCCUAACAAUUGGUAUCCGAUAUAUUACCUAAGUGUUUGAAUGCAUGCUUGAAUUCUAGAUAAUCCUAAAAGUUCACUUAUCGCCAUAAUAUGCAUGUAGUCUUAAUUGUAAAAUGCACUCUUGCUUGUAUAUGCUUUUAUGCUAUUUUGGCUUUGUGUUAAGUGCAUAUUAGAUAUUUAGGAUAGAUCUUUGUCUUAGAAUCAUAGCAAACCUAUAAACUAAUUCAAAUUGUUCCAAACUCUAUUUUUGUGACUCAUUUAAUCGAUUGUUUUGUAUUUUAAUCGAUUACCUUAGAUUUUUCAAAUUAUCUUAAUCAAUUAUUUGUUCCAUUAAUCGAUUACCUGGGCUAAAAUGUUUUAAAAUCUUAAUCGAUUAAUUUGGAACAUAAUGGAUUAACUGUGUUAAAACUUUAAUCUCGUUAACUGAUUAACAUAGAGGUUAAUCGAUUAAGUGCAGUAUGCAGUAAUAAAACAGAUUCUCCAACAGUUAAGGGUUACGUCUUUACAAAUCCUUACCUCAUGAACCAUGUCCUCUGCUCUUUAGGAAUUUUGUGGUUAGUGUAAUCUUUUGGUUGUUGCAUUGUAAUUUGCCAAACUCGUUUAGUUUGUUUUUGUGCUUUGACUUAAACAAUGUAAUGACAUAACAUGCUAUGAGUGAAUUGGUUUUGUGCUGUUAAAAUCGAAUUGUGUAGGGCUCUUAUUAAUUUUGUAAAUCACUUGAUCAAUGGAUGAAAGAAUGUUAGAAAAUUUCAAAUCUAUUUGCAUUGAUGCAACUUUUCAAUUAACAAGUGGUAUUAAUUCACAAGUGGUAUCGAAAGUGGUAUGUACAUAAGUUAUAUAAAACAAUUGGCAUCUAUAUAAAACAAGUUGUAUGAAAUAUGUGAUAUCAAAAUGUAUAAGUUUCUGAUAUAGCAUGUGGCCUACACCGAAAUCUGUCAUAUCAGUAGCUUUAAUCGAUUAAGCACAGGCUAUAAUCGAUUAACCUACACCUAAAAUACAAUUAUGGUAAAAAUUAAAUCACACUUAAUCAAUUAAGUACAUAUGUUAAUCGAUUAACUUCAUUAGAAAUUGAAUUAUUUGUUUCUUCUUUUGGCAAUAUACUUUCAUAUAUGACUUUGCUUUUUGAUCAGGCCAAAAGGGGGAUAAAGGUUGUUGUUUAUGUUUUGUAGGACUUACAAGAUAAGAUAAGUUAAGGCUUCCGCAGCAAAAAAGAAUAAAUCACCCAAUGCUCAAAUUGAGGGGGAGCAGGAGGGAGAAACGUGCAUCAACUUAUAAGAACAAGGCAAAACAAGUUGAUUAUCAUCAAGCAAAUACAACAAAGAAUUGUUAGAUCCAACAAGUUGUUAACAAAUGUCAACAAGUGUAUGUCAUAUGUCAACAAGUGUUUGUCAUUAUCAAAAAGGGGGAGAUUGAAGAUGUAAGCAUGCAUGAAUGCGAGAUUGAAGAGGCAAGCAUGUAUUACAUAAUGUUUUGAUGAAGACAAAUGACACACAAAGGUUCAUGAAGACAAAAGUGUGAUAAAUGCAAAGGAUUGACAACAUGCAUAAAUGUUGAAGGACAAGCUUGAAAGGAUGACAAAAUCAACAAACAACAAGUAUCAACGAUAAAGUCAAGACUCAAGUACAUACAAGGCAGAGCAUUCAAAAGAAGAUCUAGGGGUUAAGUAUUUUUAUAUUUGAAUUAGGUCUUAAGAUGUUUGCUUAGUAAGAGUCUAGGCUAGGAUGAACCCUAAUGAAAGUCUCACAAGCUAAAAUCAAUGAUAACUAAAAGGAGAGUUACAUGCAUACAUACAUGAUUUACAUGCACAUGCAUACAUACAUGAUAAUAUGUUUUGAAUGCAUUUAAAAAGAGUUUUAAAUCAUACACCAUUCAAAGACAUGCAUCAUGCUUUUACAAAUCAUGUAGGAGGUUCAUUAAUCAUUAAAAAUAUAUUUUAGAAAACCUUUAAUCGAUUAGGAGUCAUAUUAAUCGAUUAAGUUUUGGGAACAUGUUAAUAAAUUAAGUCAGGUGUUAAUUGAUUAAGUUGGUAAGAAACCUGUUUCGACUAAUUUAGUUGUUAAUCGAUUAAGCUGGUAAUUGUUUCUGUUUUCUGUUAUUUUGAAGAAACAAGUUAAGCGAUUAAGGUUCAGUAUAAUCGAUUAAGCGAGAAGCAAGAGGUCUUGGUUGUAAGCGAUACUUAGGUUGGGGCUAGAGUGGCAAAUAGUGAGGUAUCCUAGUAAGUGAGCUUUGUAGUCAAACCAAAGUGGGGGUUUAAGAUCCAAGAAAGGAGCAUCUUGAUUCUUGUAUUGGAUGUAUUUUGCAGUGGACAGCAAACGAACCAGGAUAAAAUUUGAGUCAUAUUCUUCUUUCCCUAAUCUUUUUACAUUUUCGCAUGACUUGAUUUAUGUAACUUGACAAGCAUAUAAUUAUGUGAUAAUUGCAUAGCUGUGUUGUGAAUUUACUGUUCUUAAUUGUCUAUAUAAUUGCAUGUAAGUUUGGUUGAAUCUUGGUAAUUUUGGAUGAUCGAAAGAAUUCUGUUUUCACUGAAACUGAACUAGAUAAUCGAUUAAGUUGUUCAGAUAAUUGAUUAUUAACAGAUCGAAUUAAUCGAUUAAUUUGAGUAGUUAAUCGAUUAAGAGCAUAUGAUUUAAUUGAUUAAGUCUGUCAUUAAUCAAUUGAAUAGUGUGUAAAUUUGUAUAACUUCUGUGCUUAUUGAGCAACGAUCAUUGUGUACUGUAUUGCCUAUUCACCCCCCUCUAAGCGAGUGGCAGAGCCCUGUGAAACCCAACAACAAUUAUAGAAUAGAACGUGAGAAGCAAGAUUUCUUUAACAAAAGAUUUGACAAUUAAGCUCAACGAGUAUCUUGUUAAGAUUCACCCUUUUCUUUUUCUCAAAAGAACACUUUGAAAAUCUCUCUAAAGAUAUGAAAAUUAGAGCUUAAGAUUUUAUGAACAAAAUGUGUAAUCUUUUUAUUUGAAAUAUGUGUUCUAACUCUAUGAAUCAAUGUUCACCUUAAUAAUGAAGCAAUAUGAAAAACUUGGGUUAAUAUACCAUUUUAUUUUAAGCUGAAGUUAAUCGAUUAUACCAUAAACUUAAUACAUUAAUGGGUUCUUGAAAAUACCAGAAAACAAAAAUAGUAACAACCCUUAAUCGAUUAAACCCUUACUUAAUUGAUUAAUGGGUUCUCAAUAAAUCAAUACUUAAUCGAUUAAUGUGUUCCCAAUAAAUCAAUAUUUAAUCGAUUAAAAUAACUCCUAAUCGAUUAAUGAUUUUCUAAAAAGAUAUUUCAAUGAUGAAUGAACCUCCUACACGAUUUAUAAAAUUAUGAUGCAUGCCUUUGAAUGAUGUAUGAUUUAAAAAAUAUUUUUAAAUGCAUUCAAAAACAUAUGAUCAUGUAUGUAUGCAUGUGCAGGGAAAUCAUGUAUGUAUGCAUGUAAGUCUCAUUUUAGUUAUGAUUGAUUUUAGUUGGUGAGACUUUCAUUAGGGUUCAUCCUAGCCUAGACUCUUUCUAAGCAAACAUCUUAAGACCUAAUAAAGAUAUAAAAUACUUAGCUUCUAGAUCUUCUUUUGAAUGUUUUGCCUUGUAUAAACUUGAGUCUUGACUUUAUUUGAUACUUGUUGUUUGUUGAUUUGCUCAUCUCUUCAAGCUUGUCCUUAAUCAUUAAUCAUGUUGUUGAUCUUUAUCUAUAUUAAACUUUGUCUUCAUCAAUCUUUUGUCUUCAUCAAAAUAUAUGUGAUGCAUGCUUGCAUACACACUCUUGCUCAUUCAUGCAUGGUUGCAUCUUCCUUAAUGACAAGAUGAUUUUCUCUUAGACACAAGCUUCUUUAACGAAUGUUAUUUUAAAUCUAAAAGAUUUCAGGUAAGUGAAAUGUGAUUUUGUUUUUUAUUCUGACUAAUUAACUUAUUUUAUGUUACACAAUGUUUUUACGCAUAAAUUUGUAAUCAUUGGUGUUGUUAUCACAUGUACUCUAUGGGAAUCCCAUGCCAUGAAGUUUUUUUAAUUAUUAUUACAACAAUCAAACCAUUGGUGAGUACAUGAUUGUUCUAUUGAUACAUGUUAGAGUCAAGGAAGGACAAUGUAAUUUUUAUCGUUUAAGAAUUACUAAUUAUUCAGUAAGCAUUCAUUUUUUGACUUUUAAAUUAAUUGUGUUGUAAGUAAGUACCCACCCACUAUGAACAAUUCAUGGCGGGGAUGAAAAAUUAUGAUUGAUGUUGAAAUUCUGGAUUUUCAUAAAUACAAAGAUAGGUACAAUGAAAUUAUAUUAAGAUAUCUAUCAUAUUAUAUUCAUAAAGAAAUUUAUUUCCGUAAUUUAUGUAAGUUGAUUACAAUUUUGUUUAUUUAUCAUAUUCAUAUCUUGUUUUUGUAUUAUUUGUUUUUUAUUGUUUUUCAACUUUCAAUUUAUCCUGUGACACAUUGAUCCAAGGUAAUAGCCAAUUAUCACAAUAUUCUAAUUUAUUUGAAGAUGACUAAUUUAUACAUAAGAUUGAGGUCAAGACUAUCUCCGAAAUUGUUUCCUUAACACCAAUCGAGGUAAAUUUAUUCUAUGUUUACUAUUUUCUUAUGAGUUAUGUCCUAACAUAAUUUUAUAAAUGUAUAGGAAAUAAUGUGUGUUACUAUUGGAACAAUGACAAUGUUUAUUGUUGGAAAACAAUGAUGGUAUUAUAAUGGUUGUUUGAAAUGCACUAAGAAGGUUGAGAUUAAAAUUGGUCCCUUCACUUGCAAGUGUAUAACAUAAUCUGAGUUCUACCCCAAGGUAUAAAAAAUUAUUAUAGUAUUUCAUUUAUAAAUUGAGAGUUUUCAAUUUUUUACUUACUUAUGAUAUGGCUUUCUUUUUAGGUACAAAUUUGACAUUAAGGUUAUUCACCAAAAUGGAAGCGGAAGGUUUAUGUUUUGGGAUCGUCAAUAUGUUGACAUCAAUGGAAUAUUUGUACCCGAGCUUAGAAAUCAGAUGGUUGCAGUAAGUCCUUUUACAUAUGUCCAUUUAUAUAGGUCCAUAUUACAUUAAUACACAAUAUUAGAUAGUUAACAAACUCAUUUCUUCACAUUAGAUAGUUAACAAACCCAUUUCUUCACAUUAGAUAGUUAACAAACACAUUUCUUCAAAUGCUCCUUGCAAGGAUAAUGACUAGGGUUAAUUUGGGAGUUGGAUUUUGGACGGGAAGGAAUGGAAAAUGAAGGCUUGGGAGCCAUGAAAUACACUUGUGAGAUGGCUCCCAAGCCUUCCCUUUCCCUUCCUUCCCCUCCAAAAUCCAACUUCCAAACUAACCCUUGUAGUCAAGCUCCCUUCUGCCCUUGCACUCGAGUGCCAAUCUUCGUCUGUUAUUGCUCUAGGUUUACAUACAACUACAUUGAUCUUAGUAAAAUGUGCUUUGGAUGUGCGUGGUUCUAAGUUAAUACUAGGAGUCAAAGUACAAUCAUCCUACAACUAAUCCUCUAUGAUAAGACUAUCUGAAAAUCCAAUUUUGAUCAAGUCCAUUGCUUAUCAGUUUGGAAUAAUGGAGGUAUGUUCUGUCACUUAAAAUAUUAAAUCAUUUAUCCAUAUUUUUACUAUAAAGUUUUUAAAAUGAUAUUAAUUAAUUUUUACCUAUUGUAAACAAGGGUUCAACCUUUGAUAAACUGAAAGGAAAAUGUCAUGUCAAUGACAUCUUUCAAUAUAAAUCUGUGAGUGAAAUCCACCAUUUUUUACAAUGUUUACAGUGCAAAGAUAACUCCACUAAUAAGUGUGAUUUAUUGUCAUGUUUUUGACUUGGAUCGGUAGUCUAAUCAAACAACCUUCAAGUUGUAACUCCAAUGAAAAGAAUGUCGGCUGACAUAGAUUUGUACCUGCUACCAAGCCUCCUCUAUAAAUCCACUCAAUUGUCAUCCUCCAAUGUGGCAAAGCAUAUCAAAACCGAAUGAUUAAUUGAAGUAUGAAAAAUUAUGUAUAACAUUUUUUAGAACUAAACUUUGAUACAUAAUAGUUGGAUGUAUAUUUUGUGACUUUAUCCUUUAGUACUCAUAGACUGACUAGCAUUGAAACUCAACUCUCCCAUAUAUAUUAUGUGACUAUUAGAAUUUUAUAACUGAUAAAUAAUAAACACAUAAGUCUCAUCUAAGUGACCUCACAUUUAGUAAAUUGGGUUUUAUGCUUAUUCAUAUCUAAGUAGUUAUAAUCUAACAUGAUUGACAAAUCACCCUAAGGUAAUUCUAUCUUUUGUGGUAUAGCUUCAACAAACACAUUAACUAUAAAAUAUUUCAUUAACAUGAUUAGUUAUUUGAACACUUUACCUAAGUAUUUUUCAUGCGGAUAUAGACAUAAAACAAUGUAUAGGUAGAUAAAACAUAGUCACUGCUGAUUUAUGAUUAAUAUCAAUCAUUUUUUAAAUAGAUUAUGACCUUCAAAUGGAAUUAUUUUUUUAAAAACAUGGGAUUUGCGAUGAUCAUAUUGACUUUGUAAUAAUCUAUUUUCAUUUCCAUGUGAAAUGGGUAAAUUCAUAUUGAUUCUCAAACACUACUUUUUCGCUACCCAGAUUUUAUUUGCCCCCUUCAUUUUAUAUUCCAUAACAAUUCAGAAUGAGUUUAAUUACGGCAUUAAAGCACUAAGGUAACAAUCAAAUACUUCAUCUCUUCAUCACCUUCUUAUUCUUUAAUAGUUAUUACGGCAUGGUGUUUUCACUGUAUUUUUGUAAUAUGGCCUAAUGCAGUGCAAAUAUAGCCCACGCAAGUACAUCAUUGUAAUAUUUUUGGUAAAUAGGAAUAGUUUGGUAUUGCUUUGGGCUAUUCUUGUAUUGGGUUUCUUUUGGGUUGUCUGUUAGUGUAUGUUUGUUUAGAAAGUAGUUUGGGUAGUUUAGUUAUUUUCAUUUCUCUGGUUAUCAACUUCCUACAAAUAGGAAAGUUCAUUCUGUUUUUAUUCACACUGAGAAUUCAUUAAUCGAAGAGGCAUAGUUAGUUUCAUUUCUUGCGAAGUAAUAAAACAUCACUGCAUAUCUUCUUCUCAAAAGCUUCUUCUUUCAAUUCUGGUUUGUUCAUUUUCAUUCCCUUUCAUUAUCUUUCAGUUCUGAUUUUAACAUACCCUUAGCUUCUAUUCCUCAAUUUUCAGUCAAAUCUUCUUUUCUUCUCUAGUCUCAAUUUAAUGUGGAUUUAUAGUUAUGAGUUUUUAUUACAUCCAUGCAUCUUAAAAAGAGUUUUGAACAAGUUCUUGUUAAAAAUUUAAACAUAACUAUAUAGGCCAGUCAGAAGAUUAAAGGUGAGCCUUGUCCUAAGGAUAAGAUUUUUAGUCAAUGACCCGAAGGUGCCAUGAGAAGAUAAAAAUAAUUACGUUGGUUUUUAUAAAUAUAUGUUAGCAUCGAUAAUGCAGGCUUAUUAAAUGUAACAAUAUUUUCUUAAUAAAUGUACCAAAUUUUGCAACCUUUCUGUUUGAGGUAUCGUUUGUGCUAAUGAUCACAAUAGUAAAAGAAAUCUUUAAGAUGUAGUCUAGCCUUACAAUCUUCUAGAGACUAUAAUGAUGAAAUAAAAUAAAACUAUGAUUUGGUGAUAAAAAUAAAAAUGCAAUUAAAAUUAGCCAAUAGAACUAUAUUAAUAAUUUGAGUAAAUUACACUGAUAUCCCCUGAGUUUUAGAGAAAUUACAUAAAUCACUCCUCACUUUUCUACACCUACACAAACAUUCCCUAGUUUUCAUACUUUCAUUACACUCAUCACUCCUGCAUUGAUUUGUUUAGGGAAUACAUUGAUUUGUAUAUUAUUUGGAUUUUUCUUCACAAUGUAUCAUGUUUUGUUUAACUUAGUUGCAUUUAUCAUAUUUUUGUUUAAAAGAUUACACUUAUUUUUCAUGCAGGGAUGGUAAGUGUAAUGAAAGUAUAAAAAACUAUGAGAGGUUUGUGUAGGUAUAGAAAAAUAAUGGAUGAUUUAUAUAAUUUCACUAAAACUCAAGCGGUGUCAAUGUAAUUAACCCUAUCAAUUUAUAUUUUUUUUACUAAAGAUUUUCUUGACAAUGACAAAACUGGUAAUCUAAAUAGAUUUUGAUUAUAUUAAGGAAAUCUCUUAUAUAUCAACAUGGUGAUAUAUAACUAAUGUUAUUUUUUGUGGCAGCAGUAACAAGUAGCAACAUUCAGAAUAUAGGAUGGAAGGUAUGUUAAACAUAUAUUGACAAUUUGAUAUUAUCUUUCCACUCACAAAAAAUAUAGAAUUGUGCACUUUGGUAAUGUCUAACAUGAAUCUUCUUAUUUGCUCAUAUUAUAUAUAUACCUUCUUUAAAUUCUUCUUCUUUAUAUUUCUUAUUAGGAUGUUACAUAUUCAGAUAUUCUAAACACUUUGGUUGCAUAUAUUUUAAAACUUUUGGUUCCUUCUUUUGAAAUACACAUAAACAUAAAUAAGGGCAUACAUCAUAAAUUAAUUGACAAGAGUUGUUCUAGCAUAAUAAGGAUUCUCAAGUUCAAAUCUUUUGAAAUGUCAAGCACAAUGAUUUAAAUUGCAAAUUGCAUCACGUGAUGCAGCCGCAAACUAUUUUUUUAGUUUUUCAAUGCAAGUUUAUAUCUUGAUUCUUUAACAAUUGUCCUACCUACUAUGUACACACACAAAAUUUACACUCACUUUAUUAUAUAUUUUGGUUCAAGCCAUUGAACAGAACUGAUAUAAAUGUAACCUUUUCUUUUCUAAUGAUUCAGAUAAUGUACCUAACUUACUCAAAAACUUGAGUACACUGAGUGUGUCAUCAACAAUGCCUGAUAUGGAAGAAGAAGAACAUGAUGAAGGAAUAGUUGAAAGAGAGAACAAAGGGAAACAAAACAUGUUGAUUGAAAAAGAUGAAGAACAUAGCAAAUGGACACAUAUACCUAGUGAUAUUCUGGAAAUGAUAAUGAAGCGUUUGAAACUUAUAGAUUUCUUUGGAACUAGUGCAGUGUGUUCAUCUUGGAAGGCUACCUUUACUAAAGCCAUUGCAAACAAGCAUAUCAAACCAUUACCUGAAUUGCCUCUUGUAAUCCUGCAAUCGACUAAGAUUCCUACAUCAGCAAGCAGUGUUUUGAGCAUCAAAUCAGAAGAAGUAUGUUCUUUCAUAAACAAAAACACAAUGUUACCUGAAAGUCACCAUAUAUGUCAUGGCACAGUUGAAGGAUGGAUGAUUUUGAGUAUUUCUCUUUUUGUUGAUAUUACCAACAUCAUCUUUUUCUUGAAUCCAGUUACCGGUGAUGUAGUAAUUGCUCCUUCACCUUUGAAAUUUCCAUCAAACUCUCCUAUUCCAAGAAGAUCAAAUUUGAAUAUGGGAAGAAUGGUGGCAUCUUCUAGUCCUAAAUGUGAAGAUUGUGUUGUAGUUGGUCUCUUUAUUGAUUAUGUCCACAUUGCAUAUUGUAGAGUUAAUCAUGACAAAUCAUGGACUAUGAUUGAAGCAAAGAAAGAGGAUGCAUGGAAUUUUCUGGAUAUGGAAAUUUUCAAUGGUAAAUUGUAUGUUAGAACUAACAUGGCAAGCAGUUCUAUGUUAGUUUAUGAUCUGCAAGAUUCGACUAAUAAUCCUCCAAAGCCUAUAGUAUUAGGUGAGAUUCCACCAAUAAGGCCAUUACCAGAAUCAAGGACACAUGAAAAUCAAAUUCAUGUUAAGGGUAAUGUCAUUCGAUUUCUAACAACAGGUUAUGCAGCAGAAGAGUUAUUGCUCAUAUACUUGUUUAACAAUUAUGUUUUUGAAAAUGAUAAUGUUGCCUAUAUGAAUGUUGUCAAGCAAUAUGCAAGUCCCCCUCAAGUUACCAAAUGUGAAGUGUUCAAGUUAGACACAAGAAGUAAUAAGUGGGUGAAGCUUGAUCACUUGGGUGACAGAGUGAUAUUUCUUGGAUAUGAUAAGUCCUACGUAAUGUCAAGAACAUUACUUAAUUGCAGUGAAGAGUUAAUUGCAGAGAAUAGUGUCUAUUUUGCUCUUUACUUUCCAUGUCCAGAACCAUGGUCGAAAGCUCAAUUGGGGAGGCUUUGUUUGACUGAUAACAAGAUCAAGUACUUUUCUUUGGAGGAAUUUGGAGUUGAACUAUAUGCUUACCCUUCCUGGUUCUUACCAAGUGCUUGGUAGUUCGUUAUUUUGCUGCUUACAUUUGCUUUAGGUUUCACCAUUGUCAUCUAUGAAUUGAUUGAUAUUUUUUUUGUAUCAUACAUUUUCAUGAAUCCUCCAUGCUAAAAGUGGUGUAAUAAUGUAGAAAAAGAAUCACAUAAUUUGGAAUUAAAGUCGUUGCUGAUCGCUGUUUUGAUGCAAAAUAUAUGGUACGAUAUGCCGUGCAAGGAAGUUAAUCCAGAAAAAGAGCAUUAAAUUGUAAAGCUAACAAAACAAGAAAAGACUUAUCUGAACUCUUCCUUCAACAACCAUUCUUUUUCAAGCUCUUCCUCCAGUUUUCUCUGCAGAAGAUCCAGUUCUGCAUCAGUAGUAGUCUCACAUCUAGCUUCCUCUGUUUUUUGCUUGCAUGCAUCAAUUUUUUCCUGAUAAU
RNAcentral lists this long non-coding RNA (79336 nucleotides) under Lupinus angustifolius (narrow-leaved blue lupine). Its description in RNAcentral is "long non-coding RNA (LANG_LNC001906)". The record is from RNAcentral. Lineage: Eukaryota; Viridiplantae; Streptophyta; Magnoliopsida; Fabales; Fabaceae.